Molecule: long non-coding RNA, 85671 nt
Filed under: Capsicum annuum
Lineage: Eukaryota; Viridiplantae; Streptophyta; Magnoliopsida; Solanales; Solanaceae
Description: long non-coding RNA (CANN_LNC004812)
Source: RNAcentral
CAGUCCUCAGAACUCAGUACAUUCCGUCAGUCAUUGGAAUCCAGUAAACUUAGUUUAGCUCUGCUAAACAAUACCACUAGUAUCAGUCCAGUUAAUCAGUAUCAGUUCAGCUAAUCANNNNNNNNNNNNNNNNNNNNNNNNNNNNNNNNNNNNNNNNNNNNNNNNNNNNNNNNNNNNNNNNNNNNNNNNNNNNNNNNNNNNNNNNNNNNNNNNGCCAGUUCAGGGUUUGAUUCUUAGUAGUCAUCCUUGUGUUCCUGAACUACGUAGCCAGCGUAGGUUGAGACAUCUUAACCCAUCAGAUUAGGGUUGAUGAGGUGGCUUAACCCAUCAGUUUAGGGUUCUCAUCGUUCUCAUUGAGUACCUGCCAGUAUAGGGUUUUCACAGCUGUCCUUACCAGUGGCGCGUUAUUGACACCCCUCCAGUCGGGGCAGAGAUUGGACCCCAACUUAGCUAUUGUAGCGUAUUCGGGGCAUGUCGGUUAGAUAAAUACUUCCCAUAUUUUUAGUUACAGAUUUCAGGACUGUCAGCUAUAGCUACCCAGUCUCAGUAAAGAACUCAUAUAGCUCUUCUGAUUUCAGUAUAUCCGGGCUAUCAGAUACAGUCAACUCAGAAAUAGAAUGGAACUCUGAUAGUUUUCUUCAGAUUUAUGGACUGUGAGAUAUAGUCACUUAUUCUAUCAAUUACAACAGUUAUCAGAACUCAUGCUAUCAGUACUCAGCUUCAAGACUAUCAGAUACAGUCAAUCAGACCAGUUCUUCAUAAUUCAAACUGUCAGAAACAAUCAUUUCUUUAUCAGUAAUGCAAUAUCAGUCUCUUAGUAUAUUAGUAAUAGAGUAUCAGACCCAUCAUUUAUUAGUGAUUUAUAUAUCAAUAUCAGUAAACUCAGUCUUUCAAAAUCUCAUUAUCAAUACACUCAUGUUGUCAGUAUUUAGACUCAGUAGUCCGUAUCUCCACGAGUUCAGUUCCAGUUACGUAUGUAUGUAUGUACUCUCACGUUCAUAUCAGACAGUAUUGUCCAUGCAUAUAACCCUUUGCAUUUAGCCUACCUCACUCAUAUACUCAGUACAUUUAGGCGUACUAACGCAUUUGCGCUAUAAUGCUUUCUCUUAUGUUACACCAUAGGUUCAGAGGCAUGAGCUCCAAAUCAGUAGUAGAUUCCAGGAUCAGCAGUCAGAGUUAGAUGUGAGUCCUCAUCCUUCGAGGACAUGAUGAUUUCAUUUCUAUUUCAAUUUUUACUUUAUUUCUGUAGUUGGAGUUAGUUGGGGACAUGUCCCAUCAACUCCUUAUUCAGUUCAGUUAGAGGCUUUUGGACUAGAUGUCAGAUUAGAUGUUCAGACUUCAGUAUUUAUGUUUCUUUUUGGUAUUGUUAUACCAUAUUUUUCAAAUAUGUAUUAGUAUUGAACCUUAUGGCCUUACAGUUUAUGUUUUUGCAUAUUUUAUGAGAUAUUAUGCAGUUUACAGGUACAGAUAUCAGUCAUGGAUUAGCUUGUGAUCCUUCGAGAUUAUGAGCAUCAUAUAGCAUUUCGGUUCAGAAAAUUGGGGUGUUACAUUGAGAGUACUGAUAAGCUGAUCACGCAUAUCUGAUGCAUGAAUAUAUGACUGAACUAACUCAUGAACAUGUGACUAAACAUGUAAGGGUAAAGAUACCAAGUUUGAAAUGAAAACUGAGCAUGGAACUGAAUACCAUAUUUGUAUCUAAAACCCGAACAUGAAACUGGAUAAGCUUGUGAAAAGCUAUUACCUUGGGAUAAGUCUGAGCUUAAUUGCUAAAUAUGCAUGAGCAAAAACAUAAGAACGUAACUGGGUCUAGAAUAUGAUACAUGAGCUAAAUAUAUUGAUCUAAACUAAGCCCCUAAAGUCAUGGCUCACGGCUAAGAUAAAAACUUGGGGGCCAACUUAUGAGUACCCCCUACUCCUAAACUGGAUUCAUUAUGAGAAAAAAGAAUGAGAUGUUCUUGUCAUGAAAGUCUAGCGAUUUAUAGUGUAUCUCCCCCUUGGGACACUAUGUCCCUCAAAGAAUACUGACUUGGCCGAGUCGCUGAGAAAACUGAAGCGAUGCACAAGGCAUGUACGAGUUAAGUCUUAACUGAAUAUCUGGGAUCUGAAACUAAGGCAUGAUACAUGAAUUGGACUGAUCUUGCACCUAUAUAGUUGGUUCAUCUUAAAAUGGUUACAUUCAUAAGGCUUAAAAUAGUAUGUCUAGAUAGAAGGGACGGAAACCCAAACCAUGCGAACUUGUCCAUCUGAUUGAUAGACUGACUUUCUAAUUUUACGUACUAACUCGUGAUGAAAACUUACAGUCAACUGGAGCCUUUCUUUAGAACUCUUUCUAUAGAUUUCUAAUGGCCUUAGGGCGUAAGGAAAUUUUGGCCUUAUCUAAACAAGACAGCUGAAUAAGAAAAUCAUCACAUGGCUAAAGUUUGGUAAGAUAAGUUGAGGCCUACGAACACCCUUUAAGAUAAAAUGACUAAGCCUCUUGCACUGCAAUUGAUAUUACUGAAAAGAGUCACAUGGGUGAUAAACACAAGUGCAUAAAUAUGCUAAAUUAUCUGAUUAACUGGGUAGCUGAUAGCUGAAUAUUAGACGUGUAAGACUGAACUGGACUUGGUCUGAAUAGCUGGACUGAGACUAUAAAGUAUUAUACACAAAAGGUAAUGACUGACUGGGUAACAUGAGGUAAUUGAGCAUGAAUUCGUGAAGACGGUAUUAUCUGAGAAUACAAAACCAAGGCUUAUAACAUGAUUUUGAAAUAGUCUGUAGACUUGUACACUAUGGUCAAGCAAACUUGAAACUGAACUGAGUUGUUGAUCUGAUUACUAAACUGAGACUGUGACUGAGACUAUAACUAAGAUGUAACUGAGACUUAUACUAGAGCUAAAUACUCAGUUCUGAUAAUUGAAAUUGUAACUGACAUGGUAACUAAGUUUUUGGAUAUCCAUGUAGUGAAGACCGAUAUAAGUCGAGAAUCAGAAUGUGUACUCUUACUCACACUCUAUACUUUCCCAACUUCUAAUUACAGCCUCUUUUUAGCCCUUUACUGGAACACUAACAUAAAAUUCAAGCCUAUCUUAUCACUAAACCCUUGUGUAAAAUAAGUAUGCAACAAUAUUGUCUUAAUAUAAAACAUCCACUCUCUCCCUUCUAAGCAACUGAUCAUCACUACACUAUUAUCUCAAAUAGACCACACAGAAGGUUUAAAUCAGGAGGACAUGAAGCAUGAAUGGACACUAACUGAACUUGACACUUGACUGAAACUUGAGAAAUAGAAUAUAAAUAUCAUGGAUUCACCAAGAGGUCUAAACUAAGGAUAUGCAAAACAUAGUCUAAAUUUAACUAAUCAGUAGAGGCAUAGCAUGAGCCAUGGAAGCUGAGUAUACUGUAAAGCAUAACAUAAGUACAUGAGUCAUGAGAUGCAUGACCGGAGUUUUGAGUUUUCUGCAUUCGUGGGACAUGAUUUGCAUUACUAAGGAGAAUAGAACUGAACUCCUUAUGCUGGGAACUGGAAUUAUACAUGAUUCUAUAGAAAUCGUAUGAAUAUAAGAUGUGUUCAUGGAACUGAGAUGUGAGGCCUGGAUAGGCAUCAUGCUGACUGAAGUACCAAACUUUACACUGAGAUAAGGAUGGUUUGGGAAUCAUCUUCCCUUACUGCUUUUCUAUAUGUACUGGCACUACUACUGGAAUCUGAGAGCCUAAAUUGGUCACUUGAUCUAUCAUCUCCCCCUUGGCUUUAAGCCAUCAUCAUAAGUCUGUGAAUACUUUACUAAAAUCUAAACUGAACUGUAAUCAUCAUGACAUACUUACACUCUGAUUGAUACAUGCAUUGCCUUACUAAACACAUCACCUGCUUUUGUUUCUUCAUAUACUACUAAUAUUGUAUCUUAUAAUUCACAUCCGCACCUUCAUACUUAAUUUUAGAUCAAUACUUUUAAAUUCUUGGUUGCACUGUUCAAGCCUAGUAUUCUACCUUGGUACAACUAUCUCCAUGAACACAUAAUCUGUUCAACCUGGACAAUUUUAUCCCAACGCUACCACUGCCAAACUCUUGAGUUCAUGCUUCUAACUCUAGGACAUAUGCUAUCAUAGAAUUUUGAGAAGGGAUCUGAUGACAUAUCUAAUUUUGGGUUCAUGAAUGAGUUCUCAUGAUUAUGAAUGAUAUUUGUACAACUUUGGAACAUAAUAGAACUGAUGGGAUACGUUUGAGCCUAUGGUCAAUCCCAUAAUUAUUUGCAGGGACUGUCUGAGAAAGCCCUAUCUCUAGGAAUUUGAGCUUUACUAUUUUUGUUACCUUGAGAAUAAGGUGAAGUUGACAUAAGUAAAGCAUAAGGAAAAUCUACAUAAGUUUAUUAGAGAACCUUUCUAUGGCACGAUCUGAGACAGGAAAAAAGGAAAACUAUUCCUAAAACAUCUUAUAGCCUCCUGCACAUAAGUGUGGUAGACAACACACCCAUGUACAAGACUCUACUAGAUGCAGCUUUUCAGACUUUCUAGGACACUAUUGAACCUUAGGCUCUGAUACCAAGUUUGUAACGCCCUAAAUCUGGUACCCAAAAUGGUACACGAUGUUCAUGACCCUGAAGGAUCACAAGUAAAACCAUGACUGAUAUCUGUAACUGAGCACUUAAUAAUAUUCUCUAAUUAUACGGAAUAUAAUCUGUAAGGCCAUAAGGUUCAAAACUAAACUAAUACUGAAUAUAAAAUAAUGUCUGUAAUGGGGUAUAACAAUACCCAAAACUGAAAUAAAUUGUCUAAAACAUGUUGUAGUCUUAAAUCCUCUAAACUAUCUGAAAACUAUGGAGUUGUGGGACAUGUGCCCAACUAACUCCGAACUACUAAAAUAAUAACGUAAUAAAAUAAUCAUGCUAUCCUUGAAUGAUGAGGACUUACUGCUAUUCGGGCUGCUGAAUGUCUGAUUUACUAAGGAUGCUCGAGAACUUAUGUUUCUAAACCUAUGGUAUAAAACACCAUAGCGCAAACACAUCAGUAUGUUAAAUGUACUGGUAUGCAAGUGAGGUAGGCUAAAUAUAAGGGUUCAUAUACAUGAACAAUAAUAACUGCAUGUAUAACAUGAACGUAAGAAUAUAUACAUGAAUCAUAACUGUAAUGGAGAUCGUGAUAACGCUGACUCGUGAAUUUUAAAAAUAUGGAUUUACUGAUAUCUGAGUACUAAUACUAGAAUAUUGAAUGACCGAGUCUACUGAAUAAUGAGACACUGAUGUUAAUUUUUUGAUAGAGGAAAGACUAUUUUUGACAGUUCUAAUUUUAAAGAACUGGUCUGGUUGACUGUAUCGGAUAGUCCUGAAACUAAAUACUGAUAACAUAAAUUUUAUAUAAUUAAUAUACUAUUAACUGAGUUCCUAAUAAUAUGAUUAUUGAGUAUGAGUACUGAUAACAUGAGUGACUGUAUCUGACAGUCCUGAUACUAAUGGAACUAGCUGAUUUUUGUACUGUAUCUGACAAUCCUAAAUUUUGUAAAACUAUCUAAGUUCUAUUACUGAGACUGAAUGACUAUAUCUGAUAGUCCUAAUUCUGUAACUGAAAUUAUGGAAAGUAGUUAUCUAACUGACAUUCCCCUAAUAUUCUAUUAUGGUUGAGUUGGGGUCCAAUCUGUAAACCUAAUUGGAAGGGUGUCAAUACCGCCCCACUGGUAAGGACAAUCUGUAAGUAACCUCAUAUAAUAGGUAACUCUAGUGAGAAUGGCGGGAACCCUCAUAUAACAGGUUAAGCCACCUCAUCUACCCUCAUAUAGCAGGCAAUGUUGUCUUAACCUAUGCUGGCUACGUAAUUCUAUAAUACAAGGAUUACUUCUAAGGAUUGCACCCUCAUAUAAUAGGUGAGUUCCCAUCCUUAGGUUCACUCAGUGCUAAUUCUUACUCCCAUAUGAAUAGACACUGAUCAUGGAUUACUGAAAUGAAUAGGACUGAAUUAACUGAAUUAAACUGAUACUAAUGGUAUCGUUUAGUGGAGCUAAACUAGGUUCACUGAGUUUUGUUGCUUGAUGGGAUGCUACUAAGAUCUGAGGACUGGCUGGGAGUACUAAAGUUACUGAGAUUUACUAGGAAUACUAAGGUUAUCGAGAUUGCUGAGAUCACUGAGAUUACUGAACUAUUGAGAUUACUGAGAUUUUUGAGUUUUUUCUGAGUCACAUGACUGACUGUGUUCUAUGGAUCAUGACUUGACUGAGAGUAUCAUGAAAAUAUGACAUAGCUCUAGGCACACAGCUUAAUUUUCGGGUACAAGUACCCCGAGGACUCGAUAGAAUAAACUUGACAAGGCUUGACACUUUUGAUCACAUGACCAAUAUCAAUAAUUAUUAGUACAUAAAUUUGGGGAUUUCAUGAAGCACACGGUUAUCAUAGUCUUGUACAUGGAUAGUAAUGCAUAUAAACAUGGCAUAAUUUCAUGCUUCAAAUCUUACGAACAUCCCAUCAAGCAAUCACAAUGCAUAGGUUUAGCAUGGGAAUCAUCUUAAUCGAAUAUGUAUAGCAUAACUUAAGAGACAUGACAUAAUAUUGACACAUGAAAACUAGGUACUUGACCAUUAUUUAUUCAUUGGGGCGUAUUAUCAAACACCUUGCAUGCACACAUAGAGAAUAGGUAUGAUCAUCAAUUUAAUACCACAUGGUUCCACAAUUUAACUCAAUUGCAUAAAUUUCAACCCUAUAUUAACAUAAUUUCAUGAAAAAAUUAUAAAGAUACAAUCUUGGCAAUCAUACAACAAUAAUAAUAUGAGCAUAAUCAAUUCAAAACAAGAACAUCAGGACAUAUAGUUUAAAAUAAGGGUCUUGAGCUUCAUGAACGAAAGAAGUCCAUGAAUCAACACUGUGCAUACCUUAUUUCUUGAUUCUACAAAGAUUGAGGGAGAGAUUCUUGAAUUUGAGUCUUGGAUUUGAAUCCUCAAUUGAAAAUCCUAGCUUAUUCUUAAGAGAAACUUGAGAGAAACAAUAUAUUUUGGGUGAAAUAUGGCUGAGUCACAUGCUAUUCGGUAUAUAUAGGAGUGAGAAAUUGACCCUUUUAACCCUUGGAUGCAUAUUUUAAUUCUGUGAAAAUUUCCCAAUUUGGACCCCUGGCGCGAUGCGGUGCUAUUGUGUCGUGUCUCUGGGAAGUGACAAAUGGGAAAUUGCAUGGUGGCGCGAUGCAGAGCUAUCGCGUUGCCACUUUGUUUGCGACCUGAAAGCUUGGUGCGAUGCACCACUAUUGUGGAGCAACACUAGAAAUUGACAAAUGCCAUUUAAGCUAGCUCCGCGACGCGCUAAUGGCUCAGGUGAUACACUGCCUCACUAAAAAGGCUCUAAUUCUUUGCCCGGGUGUCAGAUUUGGGCGAAUUUGAUAUCGAUGGAAAUCUUAUUCAAUUUACCACAUGAUAAAAAGUAAAAAUCUUGAAAAACUGCAUGUAUAAAAGUGGAUUCAUCUUUAAAACAAGUCUUUAAAAUUUCUGGGAUGAUUUUUAAGCUAGUAGAAAUACGGGGUAUUACAGUUAUUUAAGCUAUGUUUACGAUAUGGAAGGAUUCAUGGUUAUGGCUUCAAGAUAUGAUUAAUUAGUAUAAUUUCAAUUACGUAUUCUCUUUUUUGAUUUUAGAUAUGGUUAAUUAGUAUAAUUUCAGUUACUUGUUCACUUUGAUUGCACCCUCUGGGCUUAUGGAGCCUACAUUGGGUUAUUUACUUUUUUGCACUUACUGACUUUUGGGGGUCAGUUUUAUAGUGAUAGUUUUGUGUUCUUUUAUGUUAUUAUUUUAGAUUAAUUAUUUAUUUAUAGUAUUUGGAGCAUUAUUCCAUGUUUUUUCUUUUAUAUUGACUUAGCUUAUUUAUCUGGCAUUUUAAUAUAUUUAUUUUAUGAUUUAGCUCAGUCGGUCGAUGAUGCCUACUAAGUACCCAUGGAUUUGGUACUCAUAUUUUACUUAUGUACCUUUUUGGUGCAGAUUUGAGUAUUAGUACUCGUUGUUGAUACUACAACCAUGGAGAUUAGAUUUUGGAGAUAGGGUGAACUCUUAAAGCCGUAGUGGAACUUUUCUCCUUCUUCUACUUUUGUUUAGUCUUCAUUAUUUAAGACUAAUGUAUUUGUCUAUGAUAGAACUCAUACUCUUUGGUUUAGUGGCUUUUGUACCGACACUAUUAGAUCAUGGGAUAUUAUUAUUAUCUUAUUUAUCUUUUAUAUUUUUUAUAUUAACAGGUAUCUUCAUUAAUCAAAAAUUGAAUCAUUGCAUAAUCAGGUAGAAGCUGACCAUCUACUACCUCAAAUUUCAUUCUAUGGACUAUUCAUUUCAUCUAUACAACUAAUGCCUGGAAUAGCCAUAAUCUAAUUACAGUAAGUAUCAAAAUCUACUUCUCCUAAGGAAAGUGAUUUAGCAGUUGCAGUUUUUCCAGCUAAGAAGCUUUGUUCCUCCCUUGAAUGUGUAGGUGAAAAGCUAUAUCAUGAAAUUUUUUGGCUACAUCAAUUCUACUUUUUUUGAAUGUUAGUGUAUUUCUAUCUUUCCAAAUUAUAUGUAUAACUAUUGCAAACACACAGCAGAUCAUGUCAGCAAAGGCAGCUCUUUUUUUAACUAACUUGCAUAUCCAUUCUACCUCUUGAUACCAUGUACCUAUUGUUUUAUUUUCCCUCAUCCAUGUAAGUAUUCUGGUCCAUAUCUACUUUCUAUAAGGACAUCUGAAGAAUAGGUGGUGUAGUGUUUCUUCUUCUUGAUCACAGAAUACAUAGCUCAUAGGAACUUGUAACCCCAUCUUCUAAAUUCGAUCAACUAUAGAUAGCCUCUCUUGUAUUGUGACUCACGAAUGGAAUUUAAAUCUAGGACACACUCUCUUAUGAAGUAUGAUAUUCUUCUAUACCAUCCUAGGAAGUUAAGGCUGAAGUGCUAUAGAAGCUUUCUUGAUCUUGAAAUUUUUACCCUGUACUAGGCUUCUCAAAGUGUAAUCUAUAGAUCCCUGGUAAAAGUGUUAUGCCAUGAUGAAUUUUCCAUUGUCUAUGAUCUUGUGUGCCACCCAAGCUGAGUUCUUGGGGCUUGUCAAGUCUUCUAUCUUGGUAUUCUUUAUGUAGUAGUAGUGCACCCAUCUAAUCUAUUAUGCAUCUUUUAUCAUCGACAUAGCCCAUAAGUUCUUCAUAAUGGUUGCAUUAUUCCACAACUUGAGGUCAAUAAUAUUUAGACCACCUGCCACUUCUGGGUAACAUAUUCUUACCCACGCGACUAGUGAUUUCUUAGAUAAUGCAUUGUGACCUAUCCAGAGGAAUAACUGGCAUACUACUCCCAGUAUCUUGAUUAUCUUUUUAGGAAGCACAAAAAUUUGAGCCCAGUAAAUUUGCAUACCAAAUAAAAUAACCUUUAUUAGUUGUAGUCAGCCUGAGUAGGAUUAUAGCUUCGCUAACAAGCAUGCCAUCCUAGCUGUGAACUUCUCUACUAGAGGCAUGCAUUGAGAGACUAUCAUUUUCUAUGUGGACAGGGGUAUCCUAAAGUAUUUGAAAGGCAGACCUCCAUCCACAUAGCCCAGAUUUUAGAGUAUAUUUUCUUUCAUGUUAGGUGUGACCACAACCAUGUAAAUGGAACUCUUCUCCUGGUUAUUUUUCAAUCUAGAGGCACAUGAGAAUUUAUGAAAUGAUUCUUGUGAUAAAGAUACAGAAGAAAGAUCAGCCCUGCAAGACAUUAAGAGAUCAUCAGGAAAACAUAUAUGGACAAGACCAAAGAUUUUGCAUCUUGGAUGGAAAUGGAAUUUUGUAUUUAGAGCCAGUUGCAUCAUCUUUCUAUACAAGUAUUCCAUUGCUAUAACAAACAAAUAUGGUGACAUAGGGUCACCCUGCCAUAAUCUUCUGCUAGCUUUAAAAGGCUUUAUAAGUCCCCUAUUUAGUAUUAAAGAAUAGGACAUUGUGGACACACAUUCCAUUACCCAUUAGAUGAAUUUGUAUGGAAACCCCAACUCAUUCAUCAUAGCUUCUAGAAAACUCCAUUCAAGGGUGUCAUAAGCGUUCCUAAUAUCCACCUUUAGUACACAUCUGAGGGAGAUCUAUUUCCUGGUGCACCCUUUAAAGAGCUCAUGACUCAAGUGUAUAUUAUUUGAGAUGUUUAUAACGACCCAAAUCUGGCACCCAGAAUACUACACGGUGCUCAUGACUCUAAAGGACCACAAGUUAACCCAUGACAGAUAUAUAUACCUAUAUACUGCAUAAAACACUUUACAACGCAGAAACAUGAACUGAAAGGCCAUAAGGUUCAAAACUGAGACAUUGUAUCUGAUAAAAAUGUAACAUCGGGAAGGGGCAGGAAAUACCCAAAAUAACUUAAAUAAGCUAUCUAAAUAUACUGUAGUCUGGAAAGCCUCUAAAACAUGAUUGUCUAAAUAAGGAGUUGAGGGGACAUAUCCCCAACUAACUCCAACUAAUAAACUAAUUAUUGAGAUAAUAAAAUGAUGAUCAUUUUCUCAAAAGAUGAGGACUUACUGCUAACACUAACAACUGAGACUGGAAUUUACUGAUGCUUUGGAGCUCGUGUCUCUGGACCUAUGGUAUAAGACAUGAUAGCGCAAAUAUGUCAGUACUUUGAAUGUACUGGUAUGCAUGGUAGGUAGGCUGAAUGCAUGGGUUUCAUAUGUAUGAAAAAUAACAAUAGCAGACUGACUAUUAUGAGCGUAAGAAUACAUGCAUGAGACAUAAUAACUAACACUAAUAUCGUGAUAACAUAAUUACUAAAUCUGAAUGCUAAUAACAUGACAGACUGAUAAUUGAUAUAACUGAUAACAUAAGUGAUUGAAUCUGACAGUCCUAAAUCUGAUGGAACUAGCUGAUUUCCAUACUGUAUCUGAGUUGACUGUAUCUGACAGUCUUGAAAUCUGAAGAACUAUCUGAGUUCUAUUACUGAGACUGAUUGACUGUGUCUGAUAGUCCUAAUUCUAUAACAUAAAACUGUGGGAAGUAGUUAUCUAACCGACAUGCCCCUAAUAUGCUAUUAUGGCUGAGUUGGGGUUCAAUCUGUAACCCUAAUUGGAAGGGUGUCAAUAUCGCGCCACUGGUAAGGAUGAGCUGUGGGUGACCCUCAUCUGAUAGUAUCCCCAAAAGAGAAUGGUGAGGCCUUUAUAUGACAGUGCGUAUCCACCUCAUCAACCCCCAUCAAACAGUAUUGAUGUCUCAACCUAUACUGGCUAUAUAGUUCUGAAACGCAAGGAUGACUUCUAAGAAUCACACCCUCAUAUAAUAGUGUCUGUUCCCAUCUUUGGGUUCACUUGGUGCUAAUUCCUACACCCAUCUGAAUAGACUCUGAACAUGAUUAACUGAACUGAACAUGGGCUGAGUUACUGAAUUCCAUUAACUGACAGAAUACUACUAAUAUCUGACAACUGACUGAGUUCAUGAGAUCAUGGAGAUUUCUUGAGUCAUAAGACUGUCUGGAGUCUAAGGAUUCAUAGCUUGACUGAGAGUAUCGUGAAAACUUGACAUGGCUCUAGGCACACAGCUAAUGUUUUGGGUACGAGUACCCCCAGGACUCAAUGGAAGAAAAUUGACCAAGCAUGACUUACUUGAACAUAUAACUAACAUCAUAAUCUAUAAUAUAUUAAUAGAAGCAUUUUAUCAAAACAUGUGAUAGGCAUAACUUGUACAUACAUGGAGAUUUCAUGGUAUCAUUCUAGUUAGGCACUUUUCCUUCAUCUAGGCAUUUAAUCAAACAUAUUGUAGGCAUGUUACAUGUAAACAUCAUUGUAAAAUAAUUAAACAUCAUGGUUCAAUUCUAAUUUCAUCAUUCAAGGGUUUAGUCAUAGGUUUGCAUGAAUCUAUAUCUAUAAUAAUUUAACCCACAUAGAAUUAUCACCCAACAUGGAGUAGAAUUUAAUUUUUCAUUAUCCACAUGAACAAAAGCAGCCCAACUAUGAAAUUCAUAAGAAAAUCCAUAAACUUGAAUUUAGAAUAGGGAUUCUUGGGUUUCAUGGAUGAAAGGAGUCCAUGAAUAAACACUAUACAUACCUUGGUUCGUAAAUACACAAAGAUUGAUGGAGGAAAUUCUUGAUUCUGAAUCUUCUAUGAAAAGCCCUAGGUUGUUCUUGAGAGGUUUUUGAGAGAAGAGAGUGUAUUUUGGGUGAAAAGUGGAUGAAUCACGUGUUAAAGGGCUUAAGUAGGGGUAGGAAAUUGACUCUUUUAACCCUAUAUACUUCUUGUAAUUUCAGUAAAAAUUUCCCGAAUUGGACCCCUAGCGCGACGCAGCGCUAUCGCCCCGUGUCACUGAAAUUUGACAAUUGGGAAACUGAAGGAUGGCGCGGCAUGGAUCCAUCGCGUUACCCCUUCUUUUGUGACCUAGGACUUUUUUGCGACGUGGAGGAAAUAGCGCUAAGACACUGGAAAAGGAAAAUUGCUAUUUUAGCUUGUGGCACGGCGCGCCACUGACUAAUAUGGUGCUGUUUUACGAUGGAAAAUUGAAAUAGUCAUAACUUCUUACCUGGUUAUCGAAAUUAGGAAAAUUUUAUAUCUAUGGAAAGCUUAUUGAAUUUUCCACAUGAAAAAAAAAAGUGAAAAUCUUAAAAAUACCACGUGUACAAAAGUAGAUUCAUCUUUCAAAGAAAGCUCCUAACAUUUUUUAGAUGAUUUCAAGCUAUGAAAAGGUACGGGGUAUUAUAAUAUCUCCCCCUUGAGAACAUUCGUCCUCAAAUGAGAUUGAAUACUAAACAUGAAUAACUAAAACAUGAUCUCAUGACUGACAUGACUGAUAACUAAAUAUAUCAUACUGAACAUGCAUAUCUGAUGCUUGUGUAACUGAUUCAUGAAUGCAUGACUGGGUGUUCUGAGAAACUAAGUUUAUCCUAAUGAGAAUGCAUGUUAUAUGCACAAUUAUAUAACUGAACCGAUACAUAAAUGCAUGACUGAAUAUGCAAUGGUACUUGAUACUAAGUUUGUAAUGAACACUGAACAUGAAACUGAGUAAGCUUAAGGAGAAUUGUUACCUUGAGCUUGAUCUGAGUUGGUGGAGAAAAGGUUAGGAUACUUGGUACGUUUGUAUGCUUCUGCUUCCUAAGUAUCUCCCUCGACAGACUGAUUUCACAGAAGAACUUUAACUAGAGGGACGUUUUUGUUCCUCAGUCUACGAGUCUGAUAGUCUAGGAUUUCAACCGGAAUCUCUUCAUAAGAGAGGUUUUUCUGAACAUCUACGCUCUAAAUAGGGACUACAACUACUGGGUAAGCUAUGCACUUUUUGAGGAAAGAGACAUGAAAGAAUGGAUGGACUGUUGCUAGAUCUGAAGGCAAUUCGAGAUCAUAAGCUACUUUUGCCAAAACGACUGAGAAUUUUGAAGGGACCGACAUAUCGAGGACUAAGCUCUCCCUUCUUGCCGAACCUCUUCACUUUUUUCAUGAGAGAUAUCUUUAGGUAGACAUAAUCACCAAUCUCUAACUCGAGAUCUUUUCAAUGAACAUCUGCAUAAGACUUCUGUCAGCUCUGAACAGCCCAAAAUCUUUCUCUGAUCAACUGGACUUUUUCUAAGACAUUGAAUACCAAGUCAGGUCCUAUGAUUGAGGCCUCACUAACUUCAAACCAACCGAUUGGAGAUCUAUAUCUCCUACCAUAGAGAGAUUCAAAUAGAGCCAUAUAAAUACUGGAAUGAUAGUUGUUGUUGUAUGCAAAUUCAAUCAAAGGCAAGUGGUCAUCCCAACUUACCUUGAAAUCAAUUGCACACGCUCGCAGCAUAUCUUCUAAAGUUUGAAUGGUCCUUUCUACUUGACCAUCUGUCUGAGUAUGAAAGGUUGUACUGAGAUGAACUUGGGUACCAAGACCCUUUUGGAAUACUUUCCAAAAAUAAGAGGUGAAAUGGGUACCUCUAUCUGAGAUAAUGGAUAACGGAACACCGUGCACUUUGACUAACUCUAUGAUGUAGAGUUUGGUGUAAUCCUUGGCUGAAUAAGAGGUAUGGACUGGAAGGAAAUGAGCUGAUUUUUCCAUCCUAUCUACAAUGACCCAAAUUGAAUCAUGUUGAUGAUAUGUUCGAGGCAAACCAGUCACAAAGUCUAUGUUCACUUCUUCCCACUUCUAAGUAGGAAUACUAAACUCCUACAUAGGACCACUAGGCUUCUGAUGCUCUAUCUUAACCUACUGACAUGUAGAGCACUUAGCCAUAAACUUUGCAAUAUCCCUCUUCAUCCCACUCCACCAAUAGAUCUCCCGUAAGUCGCGGUACAUCUUUGUGGCCCCUGGAUGAAUAGAGUGGCGCGCACUAUGCGCUUCUACAAGAAUUUGCUGCCUUGAGUCAUCUACACCUGGAACGCAGAGACGACCCUGACAACAUAAAACACCAUCUCCCCCUUGGGAUAAAAUCUCUACUUUCUGAUCCUGAACUAAAUCUUUCAACUUGACAAGGCUGGGAUCUCUAUCUUGCUUUUCUUUUACCUAGAAAACUAGAUAGGAUUUUGAACUACUCUAAACCCAUAUAUCACCAUCAUCUAUAUCGACUAAGAGAACGUCUAGUCUUGCAAGAUGAUGUAAUUCCUAAUCUAACUUCUUCUUACUAUCAUUCACAUGAGCAUCACUACCCAUAGAUAGUCUGCUGAGAGCGUCGGCCACUACAUUAGCCUUACCUAGAUGCUAGAGGAUACUUAUGUCAUAAUCUUUCAAGAGCUUUAACCACCUUCUCUGACAAAGAUAGAUAUCUUUCUGAGAAAAGAUAUACUGAAGACUCUUAUGAUCUAUGAAGACAUUUAUAUGAACUCCGUAGAGAUAAUGCCUCCAAAUCUUCAAGGCAAAGACUAUAGUUGCUAACUCAACAUCAUGAGUAGGAUAAUUCUUCUCAUGGGGUUUACACUGUCUGGAAGCGUAGGCUAUGACCUUACCAUAUUGCAUGAAGACAUAAUCUAAACCCACUCUGGAUGCAUCACAAUACACUACGAACCCAGUUAGACCAUCUGGAAGAGCAAAAACUGGAGCUGAGGUGAGUCGAGUCUUCAACUCCUAAAAACUCUUCUCACAAAGAUUUGACCACUGAAACUUGACUUUCUUCUGAGUCUAUCUGGACAUAGGGGAUGCAAUAGAAGAAAAUCCCUCAACAAACCAUCUGUAAUAGCCAGCCAAACCCAAGAAACUCCUGAUUUUCGAUGAGAGACAGGUCUGGGCUAGUUUUUUACCGCUUUGGUCUUUUGAGGAUCUACUCUAAUUCCAUCACCCAAAAAGAUAUGGCCAAUAAAUGCUACUGACCUUAGCCAAAAUUUGCACUUACUGAAUUUGGUAAAUAGUUGAUGAUCUCUGAGAGUCUAAAGUACUAUUUUAAGAUGGUCUGUAUGAUCUCACUCACUGCGAGAAUAGACCAGAAUAUCAUCAAUGAAGACUAUGACGAACAUGUCCAAGUACUGUUUGAACACGCAGUUUAUCAAGUCUAUGAAAGUUGCUGGGGCAUUUGUAAGACCAAAUGACAUAACUAGGAAUUCGAAAUAACCAUACCGAGUACAAAAAGCUAUCUUUAAAAUGUCACAUUCUCUGACUCUGAGAUGAUGGUAGCCUGAUCUGAGGUCUAUCUCAGAGAAAUAAUUGGCACCCUGAAGUUGGUCAAAUAAUUCAUCAAUUUUGGGAAGAGUAUACUUGCUCUUGACCAUGACUUAAUUAAGUUGGUGGUAGUCUAUGUACAUUCUAAGAGAACCUUCUUUCUUUCGAACGAAUAAGACGGGUGCACUCCAUGAGAACACACUGGGUCUGAUGAAUCCCUUAUCUAAGAGAUCCUUCAACUGUUCUUUCAGUUCUCUGAGUUUUGUUGGUGCCAUUCUGUAUGGCAGAAUAGAUAUAGGCUGAGUAUCUGGAAGAAGAUUUAUGCCGAAGUCUAUUUCCCUUUCGGGAGGAAUUCCUGGAAGAUCUUUAAGAAACAUAUUUGAUUAUUCAUUCAUAACUGGGACUAAAUCAAGGCUGGGAGUUUUAGAACUAGUUUCCUUAACUCGAACAAGAUGAUAGACACAUCCCUUAGAUAUCAUUUUCCAUGUUCGAAGGUAGGAAACAAGUUGACCUCUGAAAGUGGAUACACUACCCUUCCGCUCUAGGAUGGGUUCAUUUAAAAACUGGAACUAGACUAUUUUGUGUCUGAAGUCGACUGUGGCAUAGAAGGAAUAAAUCUAAUCCAUGCCAAGAGUAAUAUCAAAAUCCAUCAUCUCUAAUUCGACUAAGUCUGCUGAAGUGACUUUCUGAAAUAUCAUAAUCGGGUAGUUCCUGUACACCCAUCGGGCUAUGGUGGUUUUAGCCACUAGGGUAGAGACUAAAAAGGACUCUGCUAGAAUUUUGGGACUGGCUCCAAAAUCAACUGCUAUAUAGGGAGUAACAAAGGAUAAAAAAGCUCCUAGAUCUAGCAAAGCGUAAACAUGAACAUGAAAGAUCUGUAACAUACCAGUAACCAUAUCAGGAGAAUUUUCCUAAUCUUACAGAGACUGGAAAGCAUAAAUUUUAUUUAGGCGUUGCCCACUAGUAGCACUAGAAGUGGCACCCUGCUGAGUUGGGCGACCAGACUGAGCUGAGGAACAGUUCUGCUGACCCUGAGGACCUGGCUAAGGAUGGUCUCUGACUCUAUGUCCUAGCUUGCCACAUCCAAAAACAAAUACCAUUGUAAGCUCUGCAAAUACCCUAAUGGUGCUUACCACAAGUCUAGCAAAGAGGAUAGGUGCGGCCACUACUAACACUGCCCUGAGACUUAGAGCCUGGAGCUCUAUCUCUAUUGUUGUCUCUGAAUUUUGGCACUAGAGCACUGGCUGAUGAAAGAGCUGGAACUGAUGACCUAGGACGAAUCUAAGAAUGAUUGCCUCCCUCUGACUUAGGCUGACUAAAAUUAAAGCUACCUGUCCUAGCUUUUUUAUUUUGCUUCUUCCUCAGCUUAAUCUUCUUCUCCUCUAUCUGCUGAGCAUGAGUCAUAAGCCUGGCUAAAGUCAUGUCACUAUUUAGCAUGGAAGAUCUGCACUCAUUUACCAUGCUAUCAUUCACCCCUAAAAUGAACUUACUCAUCUUGGCCCUGCUAUCUUCAACCACAUGAGGGGCAUAUCUGGUUAAUUAAGUAAACUUAAGAGAAUACUCUUUCAUGAUCAUUUUGCCCUGCCUGAGGUUGAUGAAUUCUAACACCUUAACUUCUCAAAGCUCUAGGAGAAAGAAUCUAUCAACGAAAACAAAAGUAAACUCCUCUCACUCAAUAGGCCCUGUAUUAUCUAGCCUUUCUGACUUUCACUAUUUAAACCAAUGUGAGCAAUAUCCUGUAACUGAUAUGCAGCUAGCUCAGCACUCUCACUAGAAGUAACCCUCAUUAUGUCUAUAACCAUUUGCACCUGAUCUAGGAAUUCCUGGGGGUCCUCAUCUAACUUAGACCCGAGAAAGGAUGAAGAAUUUAUUCGGGUGAAGUUUCGAAUUCUGACUACAGCUGAAUUGGCCACUGAAUUGGCUGGAACGACAGUUGGUCAUUCAUUCUGAGAAGCAACUGAGUUAGCAAGUGUAGUAAAUGCAGCUCAAAACUCUGCAUGAGAAACAUGUUCUCCCAAAGGUUCUUUAGGUUGAGGGGCUAGCUUAUUCUCAUUUCUUCUUUUAGGAGGCAUAUUCUAUAGAAAAAGGGGACAAAUGGACUUGACUGAGAGAUUGAAUUGAGAUUAUGCUCACUGGCAUGACAUGAAUACUGAAAGAGGGGAAACUAUUCCUAAAACUUCUUAUAGUCUCAUGUACAUAAAUGUGGCAUGCAACACACCAUGUACAAGACUCUACUAGAUGCGGCUUUUAGACUUCCUAGGACUCUAUUGAACCUUAGGCUCUGAUACCAAGUUUGUAAUGCCCUAAAUCCGGUACCCAAAAUGCUACACGAUGCCCAUGACCAUAAAGGACCACAAGCUAACUCAUGACUGAUAUUUGUACCCGUAUACUGCAUAAAAUACUUUAUAAUACAGAAAAAUAAACUGAAAGGCCAUAAGGUUAAAAACUUAGACAUAGUAUCUAAUAAAAAUGUAACAUCAGGGAGGGGUAUGAAAUACCCAAAACAACUUAAAUAAGCUAUCAGAAUAUACUGUAGUCUGGAAAGCCUUUAAAACAUGAUUAUCUGAAUAAGGAGUUCAUGAGACAUGUCCCCAACUAACUCUAACUAAUAAACUAAUUACUGAGAUAAUAAAAUAAUAAUUAUGUCCUUGAAAGAUGAGGACUCACUGCUAACUCUGAAUGCUGAGACUGGAAUCUACUAAUGCUCUGGAGCUCCUAUCUCUAAACCUAUGGAAUAAGACACUAUAGUGGAAAUGCAUCAGUACUUUGAAUGUACUGAUAUGCAUGUGAGGUAGGUUGAAUGCAUGGGGUUCAUAUGCAUGAAUAAUAAUAAUAGCAGACUGAUUAUCAUGAGGGUGAGAAUACAUACAUGAGACAUAAUAACUGACACUAAUACCAUGAUAAAAUGAUUACUAAAUCUAAAUACUGAUAACAUGACAUACUAAUAACUGAUAUAACUGAUAACAUGAGUGACUAUAUCUAAUAGUCCUGAAUCUGAUAAAACUAGCUGAGUUUUGUAUUGUAUAUGAGUUGACUGUAUCUGACAGUCCUGAAAUUUGAAGAACUAUCUGACUUCUAUUACUGAGACUGAUUGACUGUGUUUGAAAAUUCUGAUUCUGUAACAUAAAACUAUGGGAAGUAGUUAUCUAACCGAUAUGCCCCUAAUAUGCCAUUAUGCUGAGUUGGGGUCCAAUCUGUAACCCCAAUUAGAAGGAUGUCAAUACCGCGCCACUGGUAAGGAUAAGAUAUGGGUUACCCUCAUCUGAUAGUGUCCCCAAAAUAGAAUUAUGGGGCCCUUAUCUGACAGUUCUUAUCCACCUCAUCAACCCUCAUCGGAUAGUGUUGAUAUCUCUACAUAUGUUGGCUAUAUAGUUCUGGAAUGCAAGGAUAACUUUUAAGAAUCAUAACCUCAUCUAAUAGUGUGUGUUCCCAUCCUUGGGUUCACUCGGUGCUAAUUUCUACGCCCUUCUAAAUAGACUCUAAACAUGAUUAACUGAACUGAACAUGGGCUGAGUUACUAAAUUUUGGUGACUGACAAAAUACUAAUGAUAUCUGACAACUGACUAAGUUCAUGAGAUCAUGGAGAUUUCCUGAGUCAUAAGACUAUCUGAAGUCUAAGGAUUCAUAACUUGACUGAGAGUAUCAUGAAAACAUGACAUGGCUCAAGGCACACAGCUAAUGUUUCAGGUACGAGUACCCCCAAGACUUGAUUGAAGGAAAUUGACCAAACAUAACUUACUUGAAUAUAUAACUGACAUCAUAAUCCUAAAUAUAUUUAUAGAAACAUUUCAUCAAAACAUGUGAUAGGCAUAACUUACAUACAUAGGGAUUUCAUGGUAUCAUGCUAGUUAGGCACUUUUCCUUCAUCUAUUGUACAAUAAUUAAACAUCAUGGUUCAAUUUAGGCACUUUUCCUUCAUCUAUUGUACAAUAAUUAAACAUCAUGGUUCAAUUCUAAUUUCAUCAUUCAAGGGUUUAGUAAUAGGUUUGCAUGAAUCUAUAUCUAUAAUAAUUUAACCCACAUAGAAUUUAUCACCCAACAUGGAGUAGAAUUCAAUUUUUCAUUAUCCACGUGAACAAGAGCAGCCCAAUCAUGAAAUUCAUAAGAAAAUUCAUAAACUUGAAUUUAGAAAAGUGAUUCUUGGGCUUCAUGGACGAAAGAAGUCCAUGAAUGAACACUAUGCAUACCUUGGUUCAUAAAUAUACGAAGAUUGAUGGAGGAAAUUCUUGAUUCUAACUCUUCUAUGAAAAGCCCUAGGUUGUUCUUGAGAGGUUUUUGAGAGAAGAGAGUGUAUUUUGUGUGAAAAGUGGUUGAAUCACAUGCUAAAGGGCUUAAAUAGGGGGUGAGAAAUUUACCCUUUUAACGCUGGAUGCAUCUUGCAAUUUCAGUAAAAAUUUCCCGAUUUGGACCCCUGGCACAAUGCGGCGCUAUCGCGUCUUGUCACUGGAAUUUGACAAUUAGGAAACUGAGGGAUGGCACGAUUUGGAGCCAUCGCAUUGCCCCUUUUUUUGCGACUUGGAAAUUUGGCGUAACGUAAAAAAAAUUGCGCUGAGAUACUGGAAAAGGACAAUUGUUAUUUUAGCUUGUGGCGCGGUGUGCCACUGACCAAUAUGGCGUUGUUUUAUGAUAGGAACUUGAAAUAAUCAUAACUUCUUACCCGGUUAUCAGAUUUAGGCAAAUUUUAUAUCGAUGGAUAGCUUAUUGAAUUUCCCACAUAAAAAAAAGUGAAAAUCUUAAAAAUACCAUAUGUACAAAAGUGGAUUCAUAUUUCAAAGAAAGCUUCUAACAUUUUUAGAUGAUUUUAAGCUAGGAAAAGGUACAGGGUAUUACAAUGUUCCUUCCUUCUAUGAAUGCAGAUUGUGGGCCUCCUAUAAUACUGUCUAAGACCUUUUUUAUUUUUUUGUAAGGAUCUUUGCAACCAUUUUAUACAUGGUAGAGCAGCAUGUUAUAGGCCUAAAGUUCUUCACUUUAGUAGGUGAUGGUACUUUAGGGAUUAAGGUGAUUGCAGUACAAUUCCAUGCCUUUAUCAUCUUGCCUUUUAGGAAAAAUUAUUGUACAGCUUCACAUACCUUUUCUUUAAACGGCUCCCAAUUGGAUUGAAAGAAUUUAAUGGGAUAUCCAUCUACUUCGGGGCCUCUGUCAUAUGGCAUCCCUUUGAUAGCUUGUUUUAUUUACUCUAUACUCACCUCUUCUAUUAAUAUCAAUUGCUUGUCUCUAUAUAAGCAUGACCUUUUCUGUACUACCAUUGAGUCAGGGUAAGGUAAUUUCUCUUCUUUAUUUCCCAUAAAUUCAUUUUUAACUCUACAGGAUCAUUUAAUUUUUCCCUACCUUCAGUAUAGAUAGAGGCUAUAAUGUUGUGGAUUGUUUGGAUUUUCAACUAAGCAUAAAAGUACUUUGUAUUUUCAUCCCCAUAAUCAAUCCAGCAUGCUCUAGAUUUUUGUCUCAAUAACUUAUCCUCCACUAAGCUCUAUUUCUGGAUGUCUACUAAUAUAGCUUUCUCUUGCUCAAAUAGCAACUGAUCAAAUAGUUAUGAAGUGAUAUGCGCUUGCACUGUCUCUAACUGCUACCUUGCUUGAGUCAGUCUUUGAGAAUAAGUGCCAUGUAAGCAUUCAAAUCUCUUAAUGCUAGUUUUGGAUUUUUUAGCUUGUUCUAGACAACCAUCAUUGCAUCACCUUCCUCGGGUGCCUUCCAUACUUGUUGUACUAUUUCAUGGAACUAGGGGUGUUCCAUAAUAGUGGCACAUAACCUAAAUAGUUAUGGGUGCAAGUUGUCCCUCUGCAUACACUAGGUCAUAGCUGGGGAGUGAUCGGAUAUACUUGGCACCAUAUACUGAAGCAAAUUAUUAUAGCAAUUCAAGAUUCCCUAGUACUCAAUAUACUCUAUUGUACACCCUAUUGGCCCUCUGCUGCAUAUUACACCAGGUGUAAAAGUUGCCUUUUGAUCUAAUAGGAGUGAGCUGCAAAUUGUCAAUCAUAUCUUUAAACCUUUGCACUUCUGAUUCUGUAACUGGUUGACCUACUCUGUUAUCUGUAGUUAGCAUAUUAUUAAAGUCUCCACUGAGCAUCCAUUGUUAUUGGCUUUCUAUACCUAUUUGCUUCAAUUGCUACCAUAGAAUUGAUCUUAUAUCCACCUCAUUCCUAGCAUACACCACUAUGACUUUAGCUCUAAAGUUACUGUAUAGGUUUGCUACCUUGCAAUGGAUAUACUGCUCGAGUAUUUGUAAGAUCUGCACAUUUAUGUGUUUCUUCCAUAGCAGCCAUAUACACCUAUUCUCUCCAUAAAGAUAGUUACAGUAAUGGUUCCAUUCCUUUGAAAAUUAAAAUAGGAUUUGUUUAGCUUUUCCCUCCUUUAUUCUAGUCUCUAAACAUCCAAAAAGGUUAAUUUUAUUCUUUCUUAGCAAGAGUAACACCUCUUUUUGCUAAAGGGAUGAUUCAUCCCCCUCAUAUUCCAUGUGCAUAUAAUUAUGGGGGCUUAUGAGUAGUAUUAUUUGCUGGCUUUGAAGCGUUGGCAUUUACCUUAGUUGCUCUGGCCAGUGGUGUAAAUCGAUUACUUUGACUCAUAUCUGGUUCUGUUUCAAUAUUCUUACUAGAGGGAGUGGCCUUUUCCUUGCUUGGAUCUCCUAGAAUAUCUGUUUUAGAUUGAGGGAGCCUCCUAUCUGCUCUAGCUUGCCAGGUUUGUACAAUUUUCUUUCGUCGUCUACUCUUUCUCCUCUGUUUGGGUGGUUUAUUGAACUCCUCAUCCUCCUGGAUUAGUUGUUCUUCUCCCUUCUUUGGAUAUCAUUUUAACCUACAGUCCUCAGUAUUGUGCCCAUAUCAAAUACACUCAUUGCAGAAUCUAGGCCUCCAAUCAUAUUCCAUCCUUUGUUGAAUUAUUCUAUAUGGAGCUUCAAUUUCUAUAAUCUCAAUAACGGGAUGGGAUAUAUAUACUUCUACCAAUACUCUUAUAUAUGAGAUAUAAUUUAUGUCAGCAGUAUACUUAUCAAUGUACAAGGGUUUACCUAUUGCACUAGCUACUUUGCUCAAUACCUCAGUUAACCAAUAUUCCACUAGUAAUCUCGGGAGACUAGCCCAUAAUGGGACUGUUGUAAUUGCUUUCUUAUCAAAUAUGAACUCUGCCACCCAUGGCUUUAGUAUGAAUGGCUUGUUAUGAUAGGCACAUGGUACUGUUUGUAGCACCUCAAUUUUAUGCUCCAUUGACACAAAUCGAUAUACAUAAUUCCCAUCAGCAUGAUAGAGUAUCUAGGGUUUCUUCACGAAGUUUCACACUAUUGUAACCAAAUUAUCCAUCGACUUCUCAUACGGAACACCACCUAAUACAUACCCUGUAAUUGCAGUAGACCAAUAGUCAUCACUGGUCUUAAUGUCCUCAUGUGUGAGCUUGACCACUAUCUUCCCAUCACACUGAUUUAGGGGUUUAUAGACCAAUGCGUGCCCUUUGCUAGUAGCUCUUUCUCGUGGAAAAUUCCCUAGAUUCUAAUCAAUUGGUACUGGGUUAUCAAUUCUAGAGAUUGUAAAGUCCCUCACAUCAGAGAAUUAUAAUUUUUGUGGGAGGUUUGUUGUUUCUUCCAUAGGCCUCUUACCAUAUGGGUCAUCUGGUCAAAAACUAUUGUAUUUAUCCUCAAUCUCUUUCUUAAACUCCUUCUCCUCUUGAAUUGGUUAAAAUUGUACUGGUAGGAAGCCUCCAAAAUUUAGGGGGGAUCGUGGUUUAUGUUUUUCCAUUACUGUUGUUACCAUCACCAUCUUUGAAGCUGCUUUAUUCCACUACCUUUCUAUUUUCAGUGCAUGUUAGCCUACCUUCACUUAACCUGUACCGAGAGGAUAGUUAGCUUAACAUGUGCUUACCUUUCAUCUUUUUUUGGGGAUCAAGCAAUGUAUAUGGAUAUCCCAAGUUUCCUAUAGACCCCUUCAUCCGUGAACUACAGUAUCGAAGAAGGAUGGUCUCCAUAGGUCCAUAUUUUGUGAGUUACUGAUCUGGAGUAGGUAUAUACACUUGAUACAUUUGGUACUAAGAUUGGAUAGGGUUUACUAUUGGUCUAUGUGCUUUCAUUCAUGUAUAUUUCCUAUCACCAGUAUGAUUGUUUGGUGCUUAUAUUUGUUGACUUUAUGGAGGUCGUAUAGGUGUAAGCUAUGAUUGUUGUUUGCUGAGUGUUUUCUUAAAGCUUCCUCACUUAUGGGGGUCUGGUUAUGUAUUGUCUAUCUAAAUUAGCCAAUUACUUUAUUUUUUGUGAAUGGUUAGUUCAAGGCAAGGUGAUUAUGGACUGGUACUUGAGAUUGUUGGUAGGUUUUCUGAUCUUUUUUUAUCUAUUAUGGUAAAUUAUAUUAUAGAUAGUUCUACUCAUGUAUAAUCAUCCUUUGAUUAGAUGCCCUAAUUAUGGUAGUAUUGGCUUUCCUUCUUGGUUAGGAUUCCUUGAGAUUUAGGUUGUCUCCCUCAGGUUAUUAUCUUAAACUAGUCCUAUAUAUGAAUAAACACACAUACACACACACAUAUAUAUGGCAUUACUGUAUAUCCCUCCCUUUUCUUAUUUAUUCAUAUUGUAUAUAUAUCCCUUGGCCUUGUAUUAUUACUAUAUAUUCUCUUUUUACUCUUUGUGGUAUAUUGGCUAGUGAUAUACGAUAUUACACUGUAGUUCUUGAAUACUACUAGAAUAGGAUAAGUUUAUCCUCAUCUCUCCCUUAACAUUAUUAUGUUAAGUUCGUUGGAUAGUUUUUGUAGUUCUAUUCUUACUUUACAUAUUAUUUAUGCGUGUAUUAUCUUUGAAGUUCAGUCUAUCGAUGCCUACUAAGUACUAUGUGUUUAGUACUCAUACAACACUUCUGCACCCUACGGAUCAUAGUAUGAUUUCUUGCCAUUGACAUAUGUAUCCUGCGGAGAGCUUCUAAACCAUCUCUUGAUAUUCAAAGUAUUCCUAUUCUCCCUCGUAUUGAUUAGACUGGUCUUUAUUUUGUAUUUAGGAGAUAGUUUGUACAUGUAUUUAUUUUGUAUUUCACUUGUACUCAUAUUGUAUUAGAAGCUCUUGUACUAACUUCACUGGGUUUUGAGAAUAUAUUUACUUUUUCCUUUCUUUCUUUAUCCUUUUUAUGUAAUUUUGUGUUUUCCUUUCUUAUUAGUUUGUUACUAGUUAUUCUGGACUAUGGGUUGUCUUACCCACUGGUGGGUUAUAGUAGGUGUCAUCAUGGCCUGAAAAAUUAGGUCAUGAUAAUUGUCCAAUGAGAUGAGGAGAUCGACGAUGAUGUCUCAUAUCAAAUUUGAACACGGUGUUAUAAAUUUCUAAGAGUUCGCCUUUGGGAUAUUAUGCGAUAAGAACAUUUCUCCAAGACUUAAAUGUAAGUUCUACAAAGUAGUAGUUAGAUCAAUAUUGUUGUACAGGAUAGAGUGUUGUCUAGGCCAAAAUGCCCAUGUUUAAAGAAUGGAGAUAAAAUAGAUGAGGAUACUCAAAUGGAUGUAUGAAAAUAUUUCAACAUAUAUGAUUAGGAACAAAUACAUUAUACCGCAUAAGGUGGUAGUAACAUCUGUAGCGGACAACAUAAGGAAAGUAAAGUUGAGAUAGUUUAAGGCAUGUCAAGAGAGGAUCAUGGAUUCUUUAGAAAUUAGAUGUGAGAUGUUGGUUGUAACAAGAGUUAGGAGAGGCAGAAAUAGGCUGGAAAAGAAUUAGGAAAGAUAACUAGGCAGGACUAUAUACAAUAUAUUUUAGUGUGUUAGAAAAUAAAUUGUAACCAAAAAUAAAAUAUGAAGAAACAUAAUUUUACUGAUGAAUACUUGUGAGUGCAACUCAGUUCCUCCCUUGAUUCUUCUCUCUAAAUUUUCUACAUAAUUCAAGAGUUGUUUGUAGCAUAUUUCUCAAAUGUAUGCAGAUUUAGACCUCCUUGCGAUAAAUUUGAUCUCUAGAAAGAUCGAGCAAUGAUCUUUAAAAAGGCAGUAUUUAAUGCUUUGACCUCAUUGUUAAUAUCCAGAGUUUACAAUAUAUUUGAUAUGCCACUUCAAUAAUAUGUCUCUUCAAGAAAAUAUGUUAUCCUUUAAAUAGACAUGAUUUAGAGUUUGGGAAAAAGAAACCUCCUAGUGAUAAAGAAUCCUCCAAGAACUCUAAUAUAAAUUGAAUUCUCCUUGUGGAGUCCCAUAAAAUUAUAAAGUCUACAAAUGCCCCUACUUAAAGGAUUAUCGGAGUGUAGACUUGAUAAAACUCAAAGAUGAGUCUUGAAGUACUCAUAAAAAUAAGCUAUCAUCCUUAUGAUUUUGCAGCUACAGAUUGCAGAUCUGAUUUGUAAGAGAAUAAAUGAAGGGUAGAUUUAGUCUGCCUUGAUGUGCCAAUUUGUUUACAAAAAAUUGUGUUAGUCAUGAAAAAAAACUGCAACCAUACAUAAAUUAUGAAAAACACAAUAUAUUGAUGAAUACUUAUGAGUACAAUUUUGUUCCCCCAUUGAUUCUUCUCUCUGAAUUUUCUUCGUGAUUCGAGUAUUGUUAGCAGUGUAUUCUCAAAUAUAUGAAGAGUUAGACCUUCUUAUGAUAAAUUUAAUCACAAGGAGAAUUAUGCAGCAACUUUGACAAAAAUAAUAUUUGAUAUCAUGAUCUCUUUGUGAAUAUCAAGAGUUUAUAGUAUAUUCGAGAUGUCUGUUCAAGGAAAUAUGUUACCCUUUAAUAGGCGUGAUCUAGAAUUUGGGUAGAAUAGCAUCUGAGAUAGGAUUAGGGUAAAGUACCCUCCAUUAAUUGAAUUCAUGUUGUAAAGUCCCAAAAAAUUAUGAUGUCUACAAAUUCCCCUAAUCUAAGGCUUGUCGGAGUGUAGAUUUGAUGAAACUCAAAGAUGAGUCUUAAAAUACCCAUAAAAAUAGAGCUUUCAUAUUUACUAUUUUGUGGCUAUAGAUUUGCAGAUUUUAUUUGUGAGAGAAGAGAUGAAGGAUAUAUUGGGUCCCUCUUGACAUGUCAAUUUGUUUAUAGUAAAAUUUAGUGUGAUGCAAAAUUACAACGAUAAAUAAAAUAGAAGAAACAUAAUUUUACUAAUGAAUACUUGUCAGUAAAAAUCUCUUUCUCCCUUGAUUUUUCUCUCUAAAUUUUCUUAGUGAUUCAAGGAUUGUUAUUAGCUUAUUUUUCAAAUGCAAAAAGAUUUAGACCUUUUUAUAAUAAAUUUGAUCGUAAGAAGCAUUCAGUAGCAACUUUGACAAAGGCAGUAUUUGGUAUCUUGAUCUCUUUGUGAAUACCUAGAUUUUAAGUAUAUUUUCAAGGAAAUAUGAUGCCCUUUAAAUGGCCGUUUUUUAGGGUUUGGGGAAGAGUAACCUUCAAACUAUGUUUAGGGUAUCCAAAAACUCUAACAGAAAUUGAAUUCGUCUUGUAUAGUCCAUAGAAUUUUGAUGUCUACAAAGAGAUGACACAAUUUCAGCUUACUGAAGAGAUGACCCAAGAUAGGAAGGUUUUGAGGUUGAGGAUUAAGUUUGAACACAAGUAAAUGGUCGAGUAUUGUCACACUUUAUAUACGAAAAGUAGGAGUUAUUUAAUAGUCGUGUAGUCUCUUAUUGUUUGGUGUGUAUUACUACCUAUUUCUUUAAUAAUUUGAUAUUGUAAAAUUAUUUUACGAUUAUAUUCUUGUAAUUUUACUUCAAAAAUAUUUCUUUUGAGUCGAGGAUCUGUUGAAAACUGUUAGGAUAUACUAUUAAUCACGUUGUUUAGUAUAGUAUUAUAUUUUAUUUUUAUGUACAACUUUUGUAUCAUUAUUUGGAUUAAUAUAGUCUUAAUUCAAAUAAAUAAUUUUAUUUACAUGUGUGUCCUAUACUUAUUGAUAUGGGCACGAUCAUGAUCAUGGAUAUUUUUUGAGUAUGUUGAAUGCAAUUGAGAGAAUGCAAAAGUGUAAGUGAUAAGAAGGCUCUAAAGUCGUCCCUAUGGUGCACUCCAUGGGCGCCAUUUUGGAACCCUUUCAUUAAAGGGCCCUUUUAUCAUUUUAUCUCUUAUUUGUAAUGUAUUAUAAAUAGAACAUGUUAGGGUUUUUGUUCAUUAGUUAUUGAAUAUUUUUGAAAGAACACUUCUCUUGAGAGAGAAAGUCCCAAAACCAUAACUAGGUCACAUACAAGUGUGGAAUCACUUGUAUUUGCAUUUUGCUUAGAAACGUUGAUGCUUGAGUGGUUGAUUUCCUUUGUGUCUUCGUAGGAGUGUUAUGUUUCUAUUUUAAUUCCUAGGGGUCCUUAGAUUUGAUACAUCUUUAGGUUCUUAAUCUUGUAAUAGUGUGUCACACUAACUAUCUUUUCUUUUCUUGUAAUCUUGUACUAGUUUGUUCUUAUUUUUAGUGAGUCGUGUGUUGUUGCUAUUUUGUUAUUGUUAUUCUUGUCAUAUUUUUGUUCCUAUUGUGUUGUUGUUGACUGAUUUGGUGUCAAAUACACCAUUGUUUCCUUGAAUUCUUGUGUUGUUGUUGGCCGAGAUUUGUUCUCAAGAGGUCCUCAGUUUGUCUUGCAUUUGUGGAUUAUUUUGAGCUAUUUUCGUGUGUUCCUUAGGUAUAUUUGUAUUAUUUGGCAUCAGAGCAUGGCUGAUUUUAUUCCCACAAGAUCAAUCUUGGGUCGCUUGCUUGAAAAAAAUUUUUAAAAAAUAGUGUUCUUGAGAUUGUGUUCUUAGCCAAGACUUGUGCUCUUGUUUGUGUCUUGGCCGAGCCUUGCCUUUGAAGUCUAGAUCUAGUAGUUAUUUGGUGUGUUUUUUUGUUUCUAAGUGUUAGUUUUGUUCUCUACUACCACUUUUGAGUCUGGAUCUAAGUUUGAACUUGUGUUGUUGAACAUUGUGUUAUGGAUUUUGGGUGGCCGUGUGGAUAUUGUUGUUGUUCUUGGUAGUUGUUGUUGUUGUUCUCAAAGUUCUUUACCACCUUCAUGUCUUGUUAAACAUAAAAGUGCAAGUUAGAUCUAAAAGGGUGAAAAACAAAGGUGUAGUACUUGUUGGUGACAAAACUUGUUCACAUCACUCAUAGACUUGACAACCUCUUUUCCAUAUUUCAAGGACCACCUUUUGAGGAAAAAGUACAAGUCAAGUCUUGCCUUUUUAAGUUGAAUUUGAAAAAGGCUCCAAGACUUGUGUUUGAAUUUUGUUUUCCCUCCAAUAACCAAUUUUCACCAUUCCAAAUUGAGAAUUGAUCAAAAAACUUUAAGUUGGUGAAUAAAAAUUGUUAAAAUACAACCAAUCCAAGGCUUCCACAUCACCUUUUACUAUUCACUCAACAAUUUUAAGUUCAAAUUUUAGAUUCUAAGUUUCAUUUUCUUAUUUCUUUUGUUUCGUUUUUCGAUUCUAACACUAACUUACAAGUUAGACCAUUUACUAUAUUAUGAGUUAGUUUUGAACUCGUUCUUUGCGUUUACGUUCCUUAUAUGUUUAUUUCUCUUGAUCCAUUGUAAACUUUUGGUUCACCUCUCAACACCUCACGGAGUACAUAAUCGAGUCGUAGAAACCUCUUGUAUACCACCACAAAAUGCCAUAAGCCAAGCUCUAAGCUACCCUUAAACCCGAUACCAUGAUAGGCAACUCUACCUGCCACUUCACCAAGUCCAAUAUGAAGGAUUUGGAAAUGAAAUACCACUAAACCCGAUCCCUCCAAUCUAAACUUCAUUGAACCAAAGGCCUUACUUUUCACCAAAUCCAAUCCCAUCAUUCCAGGCUCCACUUAACCCAAAUUGACCCGUCCAUGUAAAGAGGUAUGGUAAAAAAGAACAACAUAGGGGAUAUGGGCCGUAUGAUAAUGCCUGCUUGAGGGAAAAAGGAUGAGGGGUAUACAUGGUGAUCUAGGCCGAGAGGUGAGGGAUGGAUACCAAAACUGAGAAGUGAGCAUAAACUCCAUCAAAGUUAGCCUUUCUAUCUUCAAGGGUGAGAGUGAUCCUGAGGCUUAUCUUGCUUGGGAGUCAUAUUAUGACAAGAUAUUCUAACUUAAUGAUCUCACUAAAGAAAAAAAGAGUUGUUAUUCUAUAGCUCACUUUGAAGGGUAUACUAAUACAUGGUGGGAGUAUGUUAAACGAUUUAGGAAUGAAAUGAUUGAGGGACAACCUCCUCCUUGAUUUUGGUUGAAGAACCUUAUACAGCAAAUAUACUUGCCCAAGACUUAUAGAUAUGAGCUCCUUGCCAAAUUUUACAAUUUGAGGUAAGGUAGCAAAAGUGUCAUGGCUUACUACGACAAAUUCCAACAAUUGAUAUUGAAACUUGAUCACCGCAGGGAGUAUGUAAGUCAAGACAUUGUGCGAUUCAAGGUUGGGUUCAAUAAUGACAUUUCUACUCAUAUGACGCUUCAUAAGUUUGACAUUAUAGAUGGCAUCUUUUAAGUGGCUUUAGAGGUUGAAAGGGAGCUCAAGGAGAACUCAUUCGGUGUUACUCAGCCCGAGGGCAAGGCUGCCCAACCCAAGACAACCAAGGCUACCCAAAGGUACCCUCCAAGGUAUGAAGGUAAACCAAGUUCUACUUUUAAUUCUAAGGAAUUUCAAUACUUCAAAUGCUAAGGGUGGGGGCACAAGGCUAGUGAGUGUCCAAACCAUAGGAAUGUGAUCCUAAGAAAGAGAAAAUUAUACUAUCUUGGAGAGAAUAUGGGCAUUAAAUUAGAUGAAAUUAAUGGCAAGCCUCAAGAUGAAGAGCAAGAAGAAGACAAGGUGUAAAAUAAAGAAUAUGGAGAAGAUGUGUGGCCGCAUAAUAGUACAUGUGAUGUGCCUAACUAAAAGAGGAGAAGCCAUGAAUUUGAGGCUAAAUUCAUCUCAAGAUGGAGAGGAUGAUAUGGGAACGAUCAUGAUCAUGGAUAUUUUUUAAUUAUUUUAAAUGCAACCGAGAGAAUGCACAAGUUUAAGUGUGAAAAAGGCUCCAAAGUCGUUUCUAUGGUGCACUCCGUGGGCGCCAUUUUGGAACCCUUUCAUUAAAGAGCCCUUUUGUCAUUUUAUCUCUUAUUUGUAAUGUAUUAUAAAUAAAACAUGUUAGGGUUUUUAUUCAUUAGUUAUUGAAUAUUGUUGAAAGAACAUUUCUCUUGAGAGAAAAAGUCCCAAAACCAUAACUAGGGUACAUACAAGUGUGGAAUCACUUGUGUUUGUAUUUUACUUAGAAACGUUGGUGCUUGAGUGGUGGAUUCCCUCUUGUGUAUUCGUAGAAGUGUGGUGGUGCUAUUAUAAGUCCUAGAGGUCCUUAGAUUUGAUACAUCUUUGAGUUCUUAAUCUUGUAAUAAUGUGUGUCACACUAACUAUCUUUCCUUUUCUUAUAAUCUUGUACUGGCUUGUUCUUGUUUCUAGUGAAGUCAUGUGUUGUUGCUAUUUUGUUGUUGUUAUUCUUGUCAUAUUGUAUUUUUGUUGGCUGAUUUGGUAUCAAAUACACCAUUGUUUCCUUGUAUUCUUCUUUUAUUGUUGUUGAUCGAGACUUGUUCUCAAAAGGUCCUAGGUUUGUCUUGCAUUUGUGGACUGUUUUGAGCCAUUUUUUGUUCCUUGGAUUUUAGUGUUUGAGACACACCUUAGCUCUUAGAACUUGUAAUAGUUUAUGUCACACUUUCUAUCUUUAUAUUUACUGUUGCUUCUUGUGUUCUUGUUGUGUUAUUGAGUCCGAAAGUUGUGUUAUUAUUGUUCAUCUUGUCAUCUCGUUCUUGUUGUGUUGUUGGCUAUUUUAUGGUGUUAAAAACACCUUUGUAUCUUGUAGUGUUGUGUUGUUGAGAAGCCGAGACUUGUUCUUCAUUGUGCUCUCAGUUUCCCUUUAUUUAGUGGACUGUUUUAGUUGUUUUUUAUGCAUUCCUUAUUUAGUUUGUAUCAUUUGUAUCAGAGCUUGUGGUUUAUUUUGUUCCAACAAAAUUAAUCUUAGGCUUGUUAGUAUAAAAAAAUAGAGAAAGAAGUGUUCUUGUGUUUGUUCUUGGCUGAGAAGUUGAACUUAUUGUUGUUGUCUCUUUUGCUGAAAGUUGUGUCUAGGUCUAGGAGUUCUUUUUGUUUGUUUUAUUGUUUCUACUGUUAGUUUUGUUCUUCACUAACAUUUUGAGUCUAGAUCUAGAUUUGAACUUGAAUUGAUUGAUGUUGUUAUUGUGAACAAGGUAUGGUCGUGUGUUGAUAUUGUUGUUCUUGGUAUGUGGUGACAUUGUUGUUAAUUUAGGUUGGAUGUUGGUUGAUAUUGUUGUUGUUCUUGGUGGAAUGUUUUUGUAGUUCUUGAUGAUCUUAACCUCCUUCAUAAAUUGUUACACAUAAAAAGAACAUUAGAUCUAAAAGUUAAAGGAGAAAAGGUGUAAGACUUGUUAGUCUUAAAAGAUUUCACAACCACGAAAGACCUUUCAAUCACUUCUGAACCACUUGUCCAUGAUUUAAGGACCCAUGUUUUAAGGAAAAGUACAAGUCAAGUCAAGACUUUUUGUGUUUGAAUUUCAAAAGGGUUCCAAGACUUGUAUUUCCCUCCAUUAACCAAAUUCACAAUUCCAAAGUUGUAAAUUGAUCAAGACUUGAAAAUUAAAAAAUAACAACUUGAUAAAAUUAUAGAAACCACAACCAAUUGAGGGCUGCCACAUCACCAUUUACUGUUCAUGUAUCAAUUUCAAGCUUAAAUUUUGAUUUCUUAGUUCCAUUUGUUGAUUCUAAUCCUAAUUCACAAACUAGUAAUCUCCUACUAGAUUGUAAGUUAGUUGUAGAGUUCGUUUGUUCGUGUUAGCGUUUGUUGUGUACUUUUGUCAUUUUGAAUUGUUGUGAGUUUUUGACUCAAGUCCUAUAAGAUUUCAUUUGAGUUUCAAACCAAAAUCUAUUCUGGACAAGAGUAGACUCAAUCCUCGACGCCUCACGGGUUCCUUAGCCGGCUUACAACACUUGUGAAGCUAUGAGUGAGGUAAUCAAAGAGUGAAAGUGUGGUGAGGCUAUUUUGAGCUAACUAGUUUAUUUUGUUAUUUAUUAUUGUCUUUUAUUAGGUACCAUGGCUGCCAAUAAUCUCAAUGCCACGUUUGAUUGCCUCAGUGACCAUUGUGAUAGAUUCAAUGACCAAUGUGAAGAUAUCAAAUGACACAUUGAAAAGAUACGCUAGUUGAUACCCAAACUUAUCCCAUCAAAUCCAAAACCUAUUUUCUAAGCACCUUGUGGUGAGAUCUUUCCAAAAGAAGAAGUGGGCUGCCAAGACCGGAACCAAGGUGAAUACCGUAGCUCAUUUGAGCUACAAGGUAAAAAUGCUAUCUCUUACACUCUUACAGACAUAGAAUGUUGUGAUUUGGCUAGUAUUAGCCAAAUGAGUGUAGCGGCAGUUUUGCCUAGUGGAGAAGUGCAUGAUUCUUUGAAUAAAGUGUGUGAUGAAAUCUGUACUAUUAGCUUUGUUCCUAGAGAUUAUGUGAAUAGAAGUGUCAAGAAUCGUGGAAUAUGUCUUCUUGAGGAUGGACUUUGAACCGUAACUCUUUCACUUUGAAAUGUAGUCCUCUCUUAAAGAUAAAUGCCUUAUGUGAUUGUGAGAAUGAAAAUAUAGUGGAAGGAAAGAGUAGCCUCGACUUGUGUCCUUGGCUACUCCAACCAUUUGAUCUCGAUACCAUCUUAGGGUGGAGAGGGAUUACUCUCAAUUUUUUUCCUUGUUUCUUGACGCCUAUCAUAACCAAUUCCUUUGUGAAUUUGUCAAUGGUUUUCUAAUGCGUAACACGAAGGAAUCUUGGUUAUAUUUCAAGUAUAUACCAUCUUGGCAUAUUGAUGUGUUUAUUUUGCUAACCCUAACCCUCAUGUCAUGAGGAUGUGUGCUUGUUUAUCUUCUCUUUGGUUUUAUAAGGUAUGGAUUCGAGGUUGAAUCCUUUUCAAGAAAGGGAGAAUGAUAUGGGCACGACUACGAAGAUAGACUUAUGUGAGAUGUAUUGAACCUGAGACUUGGAGUGUGCAAGAGAAGUGCAAAGAAGGACCUAAAUAGGCUCCAAAAUCGUCCAAACCCUACACUCCAAGGGCGCCUAUUUGAAGCAUUUAACUAAGGGGUCUUUUUGGACAUUUCACAUCUUAUUUUGUAAUAGUUAUAAAUAGAAAAAUGUAGGGUUUUAUUCAUUAGUUUUUGAUGAUAUUUAAUGUUGUAACACUUUGAAAAACAAGUCCUCUCUCCUUUAGGAGGCUUGGCCGAAACUAGGGCAACCCAAGUGUGGAUUCACUUGUGUUGUGUUUAUGGCUUAGAAACGUAGGUUCUUGGGGAUAUUGACGUCCCUCUUGUGUCCACAUAAGAGUGUAGGUGUUGAUUAUUAUAUGUUGUAGGGGUUUUGGUAUUUGAGACACACCUUAGUUCUUAGAACUUGUAAUAGUUUAUGUCACACUUUCUAUUUUUAUAUUUAUUGUUGUUUCUUUGUUCUUGUUGUGUUGUUGAACCCAAAAGUUGUGUUUUUGUUGUUCAUCUUGUCAUCUUAUUCUUGUUGUGUUGUUGGUUGUUUUAUGGUGUUAAAAACACUUUUGUAUCUUGUAUUGUUGUGUUGUUGAGAAGCCGAGACUUGUUCUUCAUUGUGCUCUCGAUUUUCCUUUGUUUAGUGGACUAUUUUUAGUUGUUUUUGGUGCAUUCCUUGUUUGGUUUGUAUCAUUAUAAAAUAAAAAAAAUUGUGCAUGAAUUUUUAUGGCUCAUGCAUGGAAGAAUAAAUUAUCAGUUCUUAUAAGUUAUAAAAUUAUAUUCACAAUCAAAUAUGAGGUUGGACAAACAUCUUGACGAUUUUAGCAAAGUUAAAUAUAAUUUAUUCUUAAUUAAUGGAGUGGUCAUAUUCCAACUUCUUGUGCUAUUACAUUUUGUGUGUAUUAAAUGAACCAAGGAGAUAUGGUUGUCUAUCUUUUGAACUUUAUGAAAUAAUAUUUCUGGAUCAUAAAAUAUACGUGUACUCUUAAUCUUGAAAUAAUUAUUAUGAUCAAUGUAAGUUGUUUGUUAUCUUAAUCUAUCAAAAGGGUGAAACUCUUUUGUGAAAUAAUAUAUUCAUGAUAGGUUGAAUAAUGACAAAUAACAUUUGUGAAGUAAUAACUAGUUGAUGAAAUUCAUGUCUUGAUCUUUAAAUUGAUGAUACCUUUUUAUGUUUGCUUAUAAGUUUUCAUGUGAAAACCCUGCAUGUGGAUUUUGUAUUCGUCACAUGAAAUAAGCUUAGCAUAUGAAUAAAGGAUUAAAUAAAUCAAUGAAUUAAACAGUCAAAAAUUUAAUUUAGUUGAUUGAUAUCUGUGAUUAUAAAAUAGAGAGUUAAAUAAGGUUUGAUGAACGAUUUUAAAAUUACAUCAAAGAGUGCAAUUAUGAACUUUUAUUGGAUCGAUCUGUAAUUAAUCAUAGUAGGUUAAUUCAUUAAUUUUGCAACUUAAUAUCAUAUUUUAAGCCUCACUUAUAAAAUGUAUAUUCCAUGUUGUACCUGAUUAAUUAAUGAACAUGGGAAGGAAGAAAUUGAUUUUCUAAAAGCAGUAAAAUCCUACAGGAUUUUGAUUAAAAUAUAUUGAUCUUCUAUAAGAAAAGUUUUACUCAUUUGGGAUUGACUUUUAUACCCAAAAUUUGUAUAAUGCUUGGAGGGGAAGAAUCAUAUAUGUUUUGGGACAAAGGCUUUACACCCUAAAACAUGGCUAUAAAUAGAACCCUUCUCCUUCAUAGAGGACAACCUUUCUGAAAAGAAGUACUGCCCACACAAGUAUUUCAUACUCAGAGAUUUUUAAGGUUAUCGCAAAAGAUUGCAAACCUGGGUAACACCUUGACAGAUUUAUGUAAUAGCUUCAAGCGGUUAGGAAUUCGUAAUCUGACUCAUCGUCAUUGUAGUUAUUCAUGUAAGUUGAUUGGUCCAUAUUGCUUGCUCUCGCUGCGCAUAUUUCAACUGAAACAGCCUCUCAACUCCCAAAAUUGAAGUGAUAUAUGUGUAUAUCCCACUCUUUUCAAAUCCCACAAUAUUACACUAGAUAUUUUUAUUAUUUCUACUCUUUAAUUACGAUAUACUUCCUCCAUUUUAUUUUAUAUGGUAUUUGUUGACUUACAGUCCCUUUAAAAAAAUACUCCCUCCAUCCAUCUUUACUUGUCAACUUUUCUAUUUUGGAAUGUCCAACAAUGUUUGUCCAGUUUAUAAAAUCAAUGAAUAAUUUACUUAUUUCUACCCAUGUAAUUUUUAGCAUUAAAUAUUAUUCAUUGUCGAAUGUAUUUUUUAAAGUAUUAAAUGUAUUAUAUUCAAAGGAUAAUAUGAUAAAGUUAUUCCUAUCAUUUACUAUUUCUUAAUUAAUAUGUCAGUAAAAAAAUAAAUAAGUAAAGAUGGAUAAAGAAAAUAUUUAUUAGACACUAAUUUUAUUAAACUGGUACUAGCAUAUUAUUAUAAUUUAAAAAUAUAAAUCUUUGCAAUAAAUUAUGGAAUCAUUUAGUGAUAAAGAGUAUGUUUUUAAAAAAGUUAAGUCUGGCCAAGAAGGUCAUAUUAUUAGAAAAAGAAAAAAAGGACACUCUAUAGCACUUUUUAAAAUAAAUAGCCCAAGUUUGAUAUCUUUCCAAAAAGUGGUUGGUCGGUAUACUAUUUCCGCUUUAUAGCCAUUUUCUAAUUUGUGUCAUUUUGGCCCACGUAGUCCAAAUACAGUCCAUAUACAAUACUAAUACAGUCCAUAUACAAUACUGAUAUAGUUUUCAACUUGGGUCAUUCGGCCCUUUUAAAAAUAUUUCAAUUUUUUUUUUUUGCUAUAAAUUUUUUAACUGAAAAAUAUUCUGCUUUUUUUAUUGUUUAGAAAUAAUAAUUGUAUAAAAAUGAUAUAAUUGUUAUAUAGAAUAUGUAUCUAUAUAAGAUAUAUGUAUAGAAAUUGUAUUAGUUCUAUCAAAUAUGUAUAUGUAUAAAAUAUAUAUAAAUAAUAUAUAAAAAGUGUAUAAAAACUAUAUAAUUAUUUUAUAAAAUGUACAAUUAUUGUAUAAAUUGUGUAUCAAAACUCUAUAAUUUUCGUAUAGAAUAUUUAUAUGUAUCAGAUAUGUAUAGAAACUGUAUAGAAGGUGUGUAAAAACGAUAUAGAACAAGCCAGCAAAUUGAAUGGCUAGAAAGUGGAAUUUAAAUUUCAUGAUCAUUUUCAUGAAAAUAGUUUAAUUUGAAGUGACGUUUCUGUCCUUUCCCCAAUAAAAAUGUACAAAAGCCAAAUCUUCACGGUCUAAACCAAAGGCCCAAACUGGAAUUAGGAUAAAUAAACUAAAAUUUACAUAUAUACACAAGAUAACUUUACCUUAUUACAAUAAAUCCCAUAUUGGUAAAGUGAUUACAUAAAUCCCAAAUUAAUUAUUGAAAUCCCCUAAUUUUUUACUUUCUCUCUCCUUAAUAUUAUACAUCUAAAAAGACCGUCUUUUUCUCUCUUUUUUCUCUCCCAUUACAAAUCAGUUUAUCCUCCAUUAUUGAAUUCCUUUUUCACGCCUAAAAUCAAGAAAUCGGGUACUUAGAUGUUACUUAUUGUAAGUUUUCAAGCAUUAAUUGAACUUACUGAUUUUAUUCAUUAUUUUUUGAAUUUUGUUUUUGAACUUUACCAAAUCAGAAAAUUUUUUAAUGCUUUUUUGACUGCAUGUUUAUUUUUAUGAAAUUAAUUAUUUUUGUAAUUACAUUCUAGUUUGAUUGUUAUAUUAUUUCAUAUUUUUUUUCAUAUAUUAAAAGUCAGAUCUUUGUAUUUUUCGUUUUAUAGUUGUUAAUUCUUAAGCAAGAUAGUAUAAACUUGGUAAUGGAUUCACAUCCUAGUUUUAGUUUAGGACUUAGUCAGUUAGAUGCUUAAGAACAAAAUAUUUUCGUUAUUGAUUUUGUUCCCAGUACAUUUAAUUUUGAAGAACUCAAUUUCGUAGAGAAUCUUUCAAAGCACCGAAACGACCCGGUAACCAUGAAGAAAUUGAAAGAAGUGGUCAGUUCUCGUUUGAAGAAGUCAGCUUCAAAAUCGACAAUUAAGAAGAAGCUUGAUGAGUCCAGACGACCCUGACUUCCAAAGGUGUAGAUUUUAUACAUUAUACAUUUCUUUAUUUAACACACUUAUGUAUAAUAUAAGUUUUUAUAUACAUAGAAGAGGCUGUUUUUGUAUUUAGUCGAAUUAUACAAUUAGAAUCUAAGAAUUUUGUAUAAGGUUACAUUAUACAUUCUGAGAAGUUUAUAAAUAAAUAAUGUAUAAUGUUAAUAAUCUAUUUGUAUGGUGUAACAUUAUACAUUCUUGAGUUUUUAUUUGAAAGUAUAAGAUAUAAUAUAUCAGGCAUUAUACAUUAGUUAUUUUGGAAAACUAAUGUAUAAUAUAAGUCUCAUGAUAUAUAUUUUCAAUAUGUUAUACAUUAGAAGUUCUUAUUACAUAUAAGAGGCAUUUUUAUGUUUUAUGUUGUAUUAUACAGUUAGAAAGUCUUUUUUUUGUAUAAAUUUUUAUUAUAGCUUCUGUCAAGUUUAUAGGUCAUACAUGUUUAAGGUAAAAAAUUUAGAUGUGUAGUAUGACAUUGUACGUUACUGUGGUUUAUUUUUUAAAUGUAUAAGUUGUCCUCAUACUUAUUUUGAUGUAUAAUAUAAGUCUUCUGAUAUAUAUUUUAAUGCAAAGUAUAGCCUUUGUUUCUCUAUCAAAUUCGAUUUCCUCAUUCUAUUUGUCGAAAGCUGAUAUACACAGCGAAAAAUUAACAAACCCUGAAAAUUAUUUCUUCAACUCAAUGUAAACCCUCAUUCCAUUGUUAUUCCUUAUGAUAAUUGGACAAGAAUUACCAUCAACAAUAUAUUUUACUUCGAUUUUUUUAUGAACUUCAUCAAUAUUCAAUUCCAUCGCGAUCGUAGCAAUCAAUUUCAAAAAGUUAAUAUACUUUCCAAAAUAAUAAUUGCAUCACUUUUGUAGGAUUGAUAAAUAAUUUUCGACUUUCAAAUAACGAAAUGACGCAAUAUGGGGAUGUUCAUAUUUUUUUUUACCCGAGAAUUGAAAAAAGAAGAAGGCAACUUUGUUUUUUCAAAAACGUAAUUAAACAAUUAGGAAAACUGACAGUGAUGUUUAAGAGAUUUUUUUAAUUUAAAUUUCAGUUACUAUAUUUAAUCAUACACUACAUAAUUAUAGGUAAUUAAUGGCAUUAUUUAAGGGAAUGGAAGAUUUUAUCUGAUUACUCUUUCCAUGAAUAUAGGCAAAUCUGUUUUAUCAUACAUCCCUCCAAUGUAUAAGAAACUACCAAAUGUAUAAGUAUAUUUUACAAAAUAGGGAGAGAGAAAGCAUAAAGGGAUUAUAUGUAAAUACUUUUACUAAACACGAAAUUUGUGUGGUUUAUGCAUAAAUAAAAGGGUAAACUACAUAAACGACCCUUAUAAUGGGUGGCUUUAUUUAUUUUUUUGUCCCUCAUAAAAAUGGUCUUAUAAAAUUAAUCUGCCUUCUUUUUUCAUAUAGCACAAUUAUCUAUUUGUCCCUCAAUAUCUCAAAUAAUUCUAAAAAACUCCAUACUUAUUUAUCUUUCAACUUUUUUUUAUUUUAUUCUAAUUUUUAUCUUUUCUUUUCUCUCUCUCUCUUUUUUAGUUUUUCUCAAUACCUACUUUUUUUCCUUUUUCCCUCUCAACUUUUUUUUUAAAAGAAAAUCUCUUUUUUUUAUUUUACUUUGAUUUUUCUUUUUUUUUCUUUUUAAUUUUUCUCAACCCUUACUUUUUUUUUCUUUUCUCCUCUCAACUUCUAUUUAUUUUUAAAAAUUUUCUUUGAUUUUUUUUCUCUUUUUUUUCUUUUUUAAUUUUUCUUAAUUUUUUUUUUUUUGUUUUUUCUCAACCUUUAUUUUUUUGUUUUCUCCCCUCAGCUUCUAUAUUUUAUUUAUUUAUAUUUUUUAUUUUCUUUGAUUUUUUAAAAAAUAUUUUUCUUCAUUUUCUUCUUUUUUCGUAAUUUUUUUUCUAUUUCUUCCAAUCAAGUUAUGUUCCAUGAGCAAGAGUUGUUACUACCACAUUGUAGAGGCAAGAUUAUGGCUUUCAAACAAGAAGUUAUAUUUCAUGGGCAAGAGUUGUCACUAUCACAUUGUAUUUUGAUUUAUGAGAUGUUCUAUAACUCUUGUCUUAGAGGCACCAAGGACUUUCGAAUAGUAAAUUAUGCCCCACGGGCAAGAGUUGACUCUACCACGUUAUGUUUUCAUUUAUGAGAUGUUCUACAACUCUUGCCUUAGAGGCAAAACUUAGCUCAAGGAAUUUCAAACAAUAAAUUUUGCCUCACGGGCAAGAGUUGACACUACCACGUUAUAUCUUUAUUUAUAAGAUAUUCUACAGCUCUUGCCUUAGAGGCAAGACUUAGCUCAAGGACUUUUACUACCACGUUAUAUAUUCAUUUAUGAGAUGUUCUACAACUCUUGCCUUAGAGGUAAAACUUAGCUCAAGGACUUUUAAACAAUAAAUUAUGCCCGAUGGAAAAGAGUUGACAUUAUCACGUUAUGUCUUCAUUUAUGAAAUAUUCUACAACUCUUGCCUUAGGGACACAACUUAUCUCAAGAAUUUUCAAACAAGUUACGUACAUUGGGCAAGAGUCAACACUAACACAUUGUGUUUUUUACUUAUAAAAUGCUCUAUAACUCUUAUCUUAGAGGUACGACUCAAUCCAAGGUCCAUUAAACAACAAGUUAUGUCCCAUGGGCAAGAGUUGACACCACUAUAUUGUGUACUGAUUUAUGAGAUUCUUUAUAACUCUUCCCUUGGAGGCAAGACUUAGGCAAGGGGCUUUCAAGUAAUAAGUUGUGCUCUAUAGAAAAAAAAUAACAUUACCAUAUUGUGUUUUGAUUUAUGAGAUAUUUUAUAACUCUUACCUUAGAGGUAAGACUUAACCCAAGGACCUUCAAACAACAAGUUACGCUCCAUGGUAAGAGUUGACACUAUCAUAUUAUAUUUUAAUUUAUGAGAUGUUCUAUAACUCUUGCCUUAGAGGCAAGACUUAUUCCAAGGACUUUUAAACAACAAGUUACACUCUGUGGGCAAGAUUUGACAUUAACACAUUGUGUCUUGAUUUAUGAGAUGUUUUAUAAAUCAAAGACUUUCAAACAACAAGUUAUGCCCUGUUGGUAAGAGUUGACACUACCACAUUAUGUCAUGAUUUAUGAGAUGUUCUAUAACUCUUGCCUUAGAGGCAUAAAUUAGUCUGACUUUCAAACAACAAGUUAUGCCCCAUGGGCAAGAGUUAACACAACCACAUCGUGUCUUGAUUUAUGAAAUACUCUAUAACUCUUGCCUUAAAUACAAGACUUAGCCGACAAGUUACGCCCCAUGGACAAGAGUUGAUAUUACCGUAUUGUGUCUUGAUUUAUGUGAUGCUCUAUUAGUCUUGCCUCUAAAACAAGACUCGGUCUAAAAACCACCAAAAGAAUAAGUUACACUCAAUGGACAAGUGUUGACACUACCACAUUAUUUUUUUAAAGUGUGAGAUGUUCUAUAACUCUUGUCUUAGAAGAAAACUUAACUCAAGGAUUUUCAAACAACAAGUUAUUCUCCACAAGCAAAACUUAACACUACCACAUUGUGUCUUGAUUUAUGAGUUGUUCUAUAAUUUUUACUUUAGAGGCAAGACUUAUCCCAAAGGACUUCCUAACAAUAAGUCAUGCCUUUAAAUUUGCUUUGAUGUCAAAAAAAGAAGAUUCCUCUGUAGAUUAUCCAACUUUUUAUUUAUUAGAAAAAUAUAGUAGAAGUUGAGAGAGAAAAAACAGUACAAACAAAAUAGAGAAAUAAAAAAGGAUUGAGAAAAAAAGACAAGAAAAAAAUAAAGGUUAAGAAAAAAGAUAAGAAUAAAUAACAAAAAAAAAAAAGAUUGAGAAAAACAAACAUGAGAAGAAAAAAAUAAAGUUUGGGAAAAAUGAAAAAGAAAAAAAUGAGAAAUGAUAAAAAAUUAAAAAUAAAGAUUGAGACCAAUGAAUUAAAAAAGAGAGACAAAUGAAGAAAUAAAUAAUGUUUGGAAAAAACAAAACAAAAAUAAAAGUUGAGACAAGAAUUAAAACAAGAAGAAAAUAAAAGUUAAGGUAAAAAAAAUAUUAAUAUAGAAGUUGAGAGAUAAAUGAGAAUGAAAAGUUUAAAAAUAUUUGAUGUGUAGAGAGGCAAAAAUGUAAUUGUAUUAUGCAUAAAAAAAAUGACUAAUCUUUAAAGACUUUUCUUAUGGAGGUCAAAAAUCCAAAAAUACCAACUAUUGGGGUCAUCCUAUGUAAUUUCUUGAAAAUGAAAAGGAAACAAAGCCCCCCAAAACUAAAAAAUUUAUUCUCUCUGUUUCGUAUUAGUUGGCCCCUACGAACAUGGACACUUAUUAAAAAGUUAAUAAAUAAAAAUAUAUUUUACAUAUUUAUCCUUGUAUGUCCUUUAAAAUGCAAUAAUCAAUUCAAUGAUUAAACAUUGAAAUUUAACACAUGUUACUUCAAUUCCAUGCAUUAUGUCUAGAACACUAAGUAUUUAUAAUUGAAAUUAGUAAUAAUUAUUUAAUUUUGAUUUUGAGAAUUGAAAUUAUUUUUGCAUCAUUUAAUAAUUUUAAAAAUUAUGGAUGUAUUUAGUAUUUUUAUCAAGAGUAAAAUGGAAACAUGUACUAUAUAUAAUACUCUUAAUUUUAAAAUUUAAAUAACUAAAUUAAAAUAAAUAUUUUCUUUUUAAAAAAAGGUCAAUUAAUACAAAAUAGAGGGAGUAGAACCUAGAAGAAAUCCUAAGUAAUGCUAUUUUUUCGAAAAAACGUUCUCUCUAGCCUCAAACGUCGAUAACCUUAAAACCACCAAAAUCCUAGAUUUCCAUAGUCGGCAUGACCGAUCUCUCUCACAUUCCCUAUAACUUUUGUAGCAUUAUACCAUCCCUAUUUUCCCAAAAAGUUUAAUUUGCCUAUCGAUCCUAAAUUUUGCCUACUGCUGAGCCUAGUCUAGUGAAAAAGAGCCAGUCAGUGUCAAUGAUGGAGGUAAACAAAGAUGUAUGACAUUUCUAGAUUUAAUGAUAAGAAUAAUAUUGAAAUAAUAUAAUAAAUUUAUUUUGAUUUUAUAAAUUGUAUAAGUAAAUUAAAAAAUUAUUUUUAAUAAGAAUAUAAAGUAAAACCAAAUGAAAAAAGUACACAUUAUAUUUUGUACGUAAUAUAUUCAUGAAAUAGUGGAAACUAGAAAUUUUACUAAGAAAAUUUAAGAUUAAAAAAAUUAAAUAAAAAAAUCAAUAAAAAAAAAUUCACAUCUACAAUAUAUAUAAAAAAAUUUAAUGAACUCCUGAUAUAAGCAGGCUCCGGGCGUCUUAUGAUAUAUAAAAAUCUCAAUGGUCAAGGUAGUUUGGAAAUGCCAUAAAUGAUACGAUCUCUGAGCCCAUUAAAGUUUCCCCCCGUUUAUUGUUACUGUCUUUGGUUGGGAAAUUAAUCUGGCAGUUAGCUAUGCAGAAGGAUAUAUUAUGGGUUAAGUGGGUGCAUGGGGUUUAUACAAAAGGUAGCACUGAUAUUUGAUCUCAUAUUCCUCCGAUGGAUAGUAACUGGUACUGGAUGAAACUCAAUCAGAUUAAAAGAAAUAUGGUGCACUAGUACAAGAAUGGAGCUUAUACGUUGACAAGGAAUGAUACCUACUCAGUUUCAUACAUUUAUAAUGCAAUGCUCGGAAGACAGUCAACGUGUCAGGAGGCAAAUUUAAUUUGGAACUCUAUAAUGAUGCCAAGACAUAGGUUCAUCGUAUGGCUAGCCUAUCAGGAAAGACUAUUUACUAAGGCUAGAUUACUGAGACUUAACUUGCCAAUUGAAAAUGACAAAUGUGGUUUAUGUGAUGCUGACCAACUGGAGUCACACCAACACUUGUUCACGAAAUAUGAUUGGGUUAAAAAGGUGAAACAAGCACUACAAGGAUGGUCAGGUCUUUCAUUGUUGAACUUUACAGUCAAGCAAUCGUUGAGAUGGUACAAAAGUAGAACGUGGAAGCAGUUCCACAAAGAAGUAGCCACAGCAAUUUGGGGUGCAAGUAUAUAUCACACAUGGAAAACUAGGAAUCGAAAAUAUUUUUAGAAUUUGUUCGUAUUGAGGGCUGUGGUGAUAGGCCAGAUUCAAAGGGAGAUUAAGGAAAGAAUUAAGCAACGGAAAUGUACAAAGAAAGCCAAUAAUUGUAGACAACUGAUACAACAUUUAGAAUAUAGGUAGUAACUAUUUUCAGAUGUAUAGCUUUGUUGACUUGAGGCAUGUGAGCCUUGGCCCCUGCUUGUAGGUGGCUAGACUUUUUGUGUGCUCCUUAGGUGUAUUGGAUUUGGUUGGUAUGGUAAUAUUUCACAGUUUAUUGCCUUAAAAAAAAUUAAAUAUUUAACGAACUGCAAAUGACUAUUAUUAGUAAUAAAUAUAAAUUAAAUAUUAAAUAAUAAACUUUUAAUUUCUUAAAUUAAAUAAGUAAAAAUAAUUAUUUAUUACUACUAUUUUAGAAAUAAGCUAAAUUUCAAUAUAUAUGAUUGAUGUCCUUUUUUUUUUUAAAGCAACAUUUGGGGGAGACCCAUGAGCCUCUUUUUAUUAUGAUAAAUCUGUACAAAUAAUGUAUCAGGCCCAAAUCGAGCCCAAUCCAUUCUAAAAUAAAACAACAAAAAAAAUUAAAAAACAAAUGAAACUUAAAAGACUAAAUGAUAGAAAGGGAAAGUGAGGUUCAGCUAGCUCUUGAAGUUUCCACGGCUGCCGUUGAUGUUACAGCUUCGACUACUUCCAGGUAACAUUCCAUUCACUAACCUAUUAAGCUUUGUGAAGAAGUGAAGCAAUCGAAGUUUAGGCACUAUUUCCUUGAUCUGAUUUUGACCAAUAAAUUCCACAACUUUUGGGUAGGUUCCAUCUGAAUAAAUCCCAUAAACUCUCACCAGAUGCUAUGGUAACCAAUCCCAUUUGAAGAUUUCUUCAAGAUGUGGAGUUGUAAAGUCAAUUUAAUCUUUCCAAGGUAAGGGUUUAACUAGAUCUGUACCCGUUUCACUAUCUCCGAUGGACCUCCAUGUUGGUCUGCUUACCUAAGCUUUUUUCUACAUCUUUUAAGCAGGUUGAAUCUUACAAAGAGGUUAGUACCACUGCUUAACUUCAGAAGAAAUAAAGCACAGUGUAACAGGCUAUUUGAUUGCUACAUUUUCCAUUUCUGAUGUGCUCGAUGUAUAGUCUAUGUGUUUUAUGUACCUUAAUUGUUGGCUAAUUGCUGACCUUUUAUUUCCAUCCAGAUACAUGCUUUGACUAAUUUGUAUUCCUUUGUAUUGUAUUUUUGCUCUUUUGAAAUCGAAGCCUUGGAAUUUCUCGUUUAUCUAUGUUCAGUAAUUUUCUUACUCCAGUAGUUAGUUCUGUAAAACUACUGUAACUUAAUGGCCCUGCAGAAUAGAAAACAAAGUGAGCGAGAAAAUCCGCCACUUGAUUCCCCUCUCUCAUGAUGUGUGUAAACAAAAUGUCUUCAUUUUCUUUCCGUCAUUGUAUCUUCCUAACUUCCGUACUGAUGCUCCAUGGGAUCUUUACCCAUAUUCAAUGAUGCAUUUCAUAGCUAGUGAAUCUGUUUCCGCUUCUAAAGGCAGUAGAUUGUGUGUCGCAGAAAAAUCUAUGCCUUGUUCAAUUGCUUUAGCUUUGGCAAAGAUACUUGUUGAGUUGUGAAUGUUAUUAGCACUAGCAUAAACUAGGUUUCCUGAAUCAUUCCUAACACAAAAGGCCCAUGAAGCAGGGCCAGGAUUCCCUUUAGAAGAAUCAUCUGUAUUACAUUUAUAAUAGCCUCUAGGUGGGAAAUGCCAAUUGCUUGCUUGCUAAGAUACCUGGGACUUGAGGCUUUCAAGGAACUGUGCCAUAAGAAUCCAAGUCUUUGGAAUUUCUUCUAUCCAAGGAUAUACCACCACAGAAAAUUGGUGCAGAUUCAGGUCAAUGUCAUAGAUGAUUUUGUUUAUAGACAUAUUACCUCCAUGAACCUGAUUGUUACUCCAUUUUCAUAUAUGUCAUACUAUAAAAGCAGGAACCAUCCUUAUUAGGGGUUUUAACUAGUAUGGGCAUUUGGUUUUCCACCACUUGACAAUUAUUUGCUUUAUUUGAAUAAAAGGACUUUGUAUGCCUGCAGCCAGAGCAUAUCUUGUCCAAAUGUUAGAAGAAAACUCCCCUGUUUGGAAUAAAUGUUCUAUAGUUUCAAGUUGUAGAUUGACACAACACCUACAUCUUGAUACUAUAGCAACACCCUAUCUAGAAACAACAUCAUCAACAUGAAUUUUUUCUUUCCAAAUCCUCCAUUGGCAAAAGGCAAUUUUAAAAGGUAAUCUCUUUUUCCACAAUUUAGUGAAAAACCAAGAUUUUUCUCUUCUGCGUCUGAGUUGUUCCCAGACUGUUUUGACAGUAAAUUCCCCACUCUUAGACAAAAUCCACCAAGGUUUGUCACUACUGGUGGUAUUACUAUUCAAAGGUAGGAAAGUACUUAUAUGAUUAACCACUUUUGAAGGAAGUUUCUUAUUUAGUAGCUGGAAAUUCCAUUGGCCAUUAAGCAUUUCUUCACUAACUUCCUCAAUAUUCAAAUCCUUAGGUUCAUCAGAUGGUAGAACACUUAUUAGUGAUCCCAUUCUAGUCCAAUUGUCAUGCCAAAAACUAGCAUUACCACACCUUAAUUCCCACCAAAUAUGCUUUUCAAUACAGUCUUUUGCUUCCAACGUCAACUUCUAAAGUUGUGAACCUCUUUUCCAUAUAACCUAUGUAGGAUUUCUUUUUUACAAUAUUUGUUCCACAUAAAAGUGGACCAUAAUGUACCAGUGACUCUAAACUUCCACCAUAGUUUAGCAAAAAGAACUUUUGAAAUAUCAAAGAGAGAUUUGAACCCUAAUCCCUCUUCUUCCUUAGGAAAGCAAAUAUUCAACCAUUUAGACCAAUGUCUGCUUCUACAUUCCUCUUUAUUGCUCCAAAAAAAUAUUGCAAACACUCUAUGAAUUUCAUUAAUGGUGUAUUAGGUUGGAGCCAUGGUUGACAACAAGUAGAGGGACAUGCUCUGAAGAUCAUUAUUGAUUAACACAGUUUUUCCUCCAAAAGAAAGUAACUUUCCUUUCCAAUGUUGUAACCUGUCCUUGAUUUUCUUUAUCAACGCCUUAUAGAACAUCUUCUUCUUCUUAGUAUAAAAAAUAGGACAUCCAAGAUAUUUGAAAGGGAAAGCACCAUUGUUAAAACCUGUUAUAUUAGCCACAACCUGUCUCAGAUCUGUCGAAGUCUUUUUGUGCAUAUAGAAUGCACUUUUGUCUCUAUUCACCAAUUGACCUGGUGUUUUUUCAUACUCUCUAAGCAAAUUCAUUGUAAUAUGGAGAGAAUUUUCUUCUGAAGAGGCAAAAGUUAUAGUGCCAUCAGCAUAAGCUAAAUGGUUAAUUUUUGCACUCCACUUAGAAAGACCAAAUCCUUGGUAGUUAUCCUUCUCAAAAAGACUGUUCAGAGCUCUUGAAAGGACUUCUACUGAUAGAAUGAAUAAAGCUGGUGAUAGUGGAUCCCCUUGUUCGACCCCUCUUGUAGAAUGAAAAAACCAUGGGCUUGCCCAUUGAAAAGUAUUGAGUACCAGUUUUUGGCAAUUAGUCUCCAUAUCAACUCUAUCCACCUUUCUAAGAAAACCAUUUUCCUCAACACUUUAGUUAGGAAUAGCCAAGAUACCCUGUCAUAUGUUUUGGCCAUGUUCAAUUUUAUAACAAUGUUGGUUGGCUUUCUUCCUUAUAUAUGUAACAAUCUCAUAUGUAAGGAGAAUAUUCUCAAUGAUACAUCUUCCUUUCACAAAUCCUACUUGAUUGAUAGAAAUAACUUUUGGAAGCAAUUUCUCCAAUCUAUCAUAAACCACUCUGGAGAAGACUUUAUUGAUGAAGUUUCUCAAACUAACGGGUCUAAGAUCUGCAAAACUAACUGGAUUAGAUUUUUUAGGGAGCAAUAUGAGAUUAGUAUGAGUAAUAGAUUUUGGAAUGAUGUUUUCUUGAAAGAAAGAUUUUACUAAUUCCACUACAUCUAGUCCAACAAUCUCCCAACGAAUGGGUCGUUGUGGAUUCUUUGAGAUCCAGACCCAUAAGCUCUUUUAAUGAAACCCAAUUCAUUUUCAACUCAUAAGACCGAUGCAAAAUCAGAGAAAAAUAAAAAAAUUUUAGGUGUGUUUGAUCAUCUCCUGUAUGUCAAUGAUUUAUUCUUCACUUUAAUCAACAACCUUUUUAGAUUUUUCAUGUAGCCGAAGUGCAGAAGUAGUCGAUUUAGACCUUUCCAAGGUUAUUGAAUGUUAUAAUUUUCUAUGACCUUGUUUAGAGAAUAGUCAAAAUUUAUAAAAUCACAGGGAGUUACAAAAUACAGAGUAAUGAAAGUUUAGUCCAGGUCUCGAACUUCUCAAUACAAUCGUGCCACAUUAUGCCGCUCACUGAUCAAUGAGAACUCACAUCUGGUCAGUGCAUAUAUUCUCUUUCUCUAUAAUUAAUAAAAACAUUACUUUGUUGUUGAACUUUUAUUUGCUUAGUUAUUGAUGGAAAGUAAAUAUAGUUAUGCUUCAGGUUAUGUAUUAUUAUCAUCUAUAUGGUUAUCAUGAGAUUGAUAAAGAGCAAAGAUAAUUUAAUUAUUAUAUGUAAUUAUAAAGGGGAAUAGGCAAAUGUGUUUAUUCUAUACAGUUGCUCUACUAAUCAUGCUUUUUUCGUUAAUUAUUUCUAGGUAAUCACAAGGUUCAACCAGAUUUUUUUUGUUAUCCAAAAAAUUUGACACUACACAUGCUGUAAGUAGGCAUGGCAUUGUAGUUAGAAUUUGAGUUUUGUUUUCGAAGUUAUAAUGAUACUAUUUAAAUGGCAGAAAUUAAACUGUUAUGAUGUUAAAUUAUCAUUAUAAUUUUAGUACAUAUGAUCCUGUUGUUGAUUGAUGAUGUUAAUAUUGUUGUUUGUACGGUGAAAGAUAAGUUGGAAAUUGAGGAACAAAAGAAUAAAGCAGAGGUAGAAGCAGCAAAGAAAAAGGUGGCAGUGGCGGAGAAGAAGGUUAAAGAGGAGGAGGUUUCCGUUGCUGCUACAAAGGACGAGGUUAAAAAUCAAAAGGUAAAGAAGUUAAAGAGAAUAAGGAGAAGGAUGACAAGAAGGGUAUCAAGGUAACGUUAUCAACUUAGAUAAAUGUAAGUGUUAUUGUGGUACACUGGAUGAGUUCUAUUUAAUCAAUGUGAAUUAAUGGGUAUUGAAUUAAAACCACAUGACAGUUAUAUGAUGCUACAUUGGUUAAAUCUGUUGGAUAGUUGUGCUCUUGGAUGUGAUUGUUGUAGUUCUGAAUCUACUAUUCCUGAUACAGAGCAUUUUUAGAUAACAAUGAGAUAGUAAUUUACUAUAGUUGACUGAAAUUGAUGCAAGAUUGGUAUGUAGAUGAUGAACUUCUCCAUGGAAGAGUUUGCAAGUUGGUCUUCAUCAACAGGUAUUGAAACACCCCAAACUUUGGUCCUUGCAAAUUUUUUGAGUCUUGGACAUUCUGCGCAUCAUACGACUCAUCAUACCACUCGUUUGUUGUGGGGAUGGGUCAAUGACCUUAGUCGCAUAUUGGUCAGUGUCACAUUGGCCAAGUUAUGUUCUUGGUACGAAAAGGCAUCACAUGAAUCAUAUGCACAUGAUACGAGAAGUAUAGUGCCAAUCGUAUGUUGUUCAGUGUCUAGCCUUGACUUUCUGUCUAGGGUACAAUUUGGAUGGGUACUAGUCGUAUGGUAGGGUAUGACUCAUGCUAAGGAGUCGUAUGUUGAACAAAUUAAGGUGUCCAAUAUUCUGAUCAAUAUACGAGUGGAGGGUACCACUCGUAUGAUGUGGGUACGAGUGGAGAGGCCAAAUCGUACCUUCCUAUGAGUCUUUUACAAUUUUAAGAUGGGGGUAUUUUAGAUAUUUUCCACCCUAAUUCCUUAAUACCCCACGUCUUAUAACACUAUUUGGUCCCUCAUUCCUCACUUGAAAAGAUCAAAACACUCUCAAAAUCCUCUUUGAACUUUCUUUUUAAGAUUGGGCUAGGGUUUCUACAAGGUGUUCAUCUAGAGGCUCAAGAGUCAAGUUCUUUCUGUGAAUCUUCGUGAAUAAGGCAUGUGACUCUUUCUUCAUUGUUAGUUCUCAAAUAUCAUGUGUAUUAAACAUUAUUCUUGAAUCAUAAACAAUGGUUUUAAAAUCCAUGGUUGAGGGUUUGAAUGAGUAUUGUUCUCUCGUGUCUUAACUUGUGUUUAUGCAUGACUUACUAAUGGUUUUGCACAUGUGGGUGCUUGGAAAUUGUAACUUAAACUAAGGGUUCAUCAUUAACCCUAACUUGAUGGUUUUUUAUUUGAAUAAUGGUUUGAUAAUAGUAUGCCCUCAACCUAUUUGUGAAAAUGUCUAUGAGAUGGAUCUUGUCACAUGAUGAAUUGUGUCUUGAACUAAUGCUUGGUUUAAGAAUGCCAAUGAAGAAUGAAUAAUUUUGUGAAGGUCUUGAUGACCAAUAAUUGGAUUGAAUUGUGAUUUGAACUAAGGCAUUGGCCUAAUGAUGUAAAUGGUUGGUAAAUGGUUUCAUGAAGACCGGGUCAUAAAUGGUUUUGAAUUGUAACUUUGGUGGUUUAAUUGGCUAAAUGGGUUCGAACCCCUAAAUUGCUAAAUUAAAUUAAUGACUUUCUAUAGACAAUGGGUUCGAGUCCCAAAGUCAAAUAAUGAUGGUUAUAACAUGUUGUACGCUUGCAAGUGGGGUUGGUAUGACGAUACUAACGGAAUGCCUUGGGUAAGUAAGUGAAAUAAUGUUUGUGUGUAUGUGUAAAUGAUGUUUUAAAUUGGACUUUAAAGUGGAAUGUGUAUCCAAGCCGUGAAAAUGAAGUCCGAAGGACUAAUACUGAAAAUCGCGCUAGUCGGUGCGGGUGUCUAUAUGACCGGAAGGUUCGAGUCCCCCGAAUAGAUAUAUGAAUGGAAGGUUUGAGUCCCCCAAUUGUAUACAUUGGUGAUACGUCACCUUGAUUAUGCCGGGAGGUUCUAGUCCCCCGUAAUGGCAUAUACGGAUAUGAAUAUUCUCUGGUUCGUGCGGCUACACGCACUAGGGCCCUUCUAGCAGGGGAGAGUUGGGACCAUAUAGCCCGCGGAUGCCUUGUUAUAUGACAGUUAUGCUACAGAAUCCUAGUUAAGAUUUUAAAAAUUCAGGCUUAGUCUUGUUCCCUACCCCGGUACGAUAUGUGUGUGUGUGUGUGAUUGCAUAUGAUGGUUUAACUGGUUUUGAAUGAUGGCAUUAUUUUAUUCCUCUAUCCCUGAGUUACACGCUAGCAUUCCGACCGCUAAUUGUUUUGAACGUUGUAUCCCAAUGCAAUGUAGGUUUCUUAACUCCUUUUACUUUACCUGCACAAUGACUAGGUAUUCGAGUGGUUCGUGGGUUGAAAUUGAAGUGGUGAGCUUCCAUAGUUUGGAAGACAUUCAUUUCACGGCCUUUUUACUCUAUGUCAUAGGCUUUAUUAGACUUGAAUUUUUGCUAUUGUUUGGGGCAUGUCCCGAUAUUUUAUUGACUUUGAAUUAUAAAGGCUUUGUGAAUUACUGUGGACUUGAGUGUGUUGUGGUGAUGAAUGAUUUAGACAUUUCUUGAGCUAAUGUUAGCCUUAUUUUGUUCUAUCUCAUUAUAUGUUCGAAAUUCAUCCGACACUUGUGGUUAUUAUUCUGGUUAAGUUCGAAAUUCAUCCGACACUUGUGGUUAUUAUUCUGGUUAAGUUAGGUUAAGGGGGUGAUCUUCAAACCACGUGGGACUUGAGAUGGCGGUCACAGCCAGAUCUUAGUUUGAAUAGUGACAGAUAUUUUGUUCAUCCUUUUAUUUGUUUGGGUUUUUUCACAUAUUAGAAUUUCAUUAUGAUUGUUUUCCCCAUUGUACUUUGGGUUGAAUGGCCUAUUUUUACAUCUGCAUGUAGAUGCAAAGCAUAAUCAAGAUCAGAACUUAGAAAUAGCCUGCUUUGUUACAGCUGCCUGGAUGUUGGCAAACACUGAUAUUUCAUCAAAGAAAGUUAUAAAGAAAUCUCUUGACAGAAGUAUGUGUUACAUCUAGACGUUAAUCAAUUUUGGUGACACUUAUAACGUGAGAUAGUACUACAGGGUUGUACUUAAUUUGAUGUCUAAUGACAACUGACAAUUUUCUUGAGAGAACUUAAAGUCGAACGGUUCUAGAAGUUGAAAACUUUUCUGAAUAUGUUGAUGGUGGAUCAGUUCACUGGUAAUAGUGUUGCAUAGCGCAAAAUACUCCAACGGAAUAACUUAGUUGGAUUGAAUUAGUGAUGUCUCAGAUAUUAACAAGAGUUUUAUUUCUUAUUUUUGUUCAGAUAUUACCCUUUCACAACUUGAAAAUGACAAAAGAUUUUCUUUCAUCAAGGUCUGGGAAAACAACAAAAAAAAAAAAAGCAAAGUGAACAAGAAGUAGGAAUUUCAACUUUCUAUAUAUGUAUGUGUGUGUAUUAUGUUUUAUUCAAUUAUUGCAAAAUUGCCUUAUUUUUUGCCUGUGUAUUAACUUAAGUAAAUGAUAGUUACCAAUACUUUUUUCACUAUAUUGGGGGUCUAAUUGUUCUUAAUUAAAUUCUUAGAGGUCCCAAUUAUUUUUAUAGUAAGACAUAGGGUAUUCUUUGUGACUACAAAACUCGCUCUACCUUGAUGCAUCUUUACGUUUCGUUUAAUAACUUAACUAUUCUCACCUUCUCAAGACAUAAUUCUUUUAAUUUGCCCGCAUCUCUUUAGGUUGAGAUGUUAAUACUUUCAUUAAGAUCAUACAUAAUGUGAACAACUAGUGUUUUUAACCUUAUUUUUAUUAUUGAAUAGGACCUUAAAGAAGCUCUCUUAAGUUGUAACAUGGGAGGAGACGACCCAAAGAUCAAAGCUUGAAGCUAAAUUAAAGAAAGUUAAGGUAACCGCACCUAGAGUCCAAGUAGACGUGCAUAUUCAAUGAAUUUGAAAUACAUAUUCUUCAAGAAUGCAAUAAUGUACAGAAAAAAUAUCUCAAUAUCUAAGUGAUUUAUAAUAGGCCAAUUGAAGAAACCUUUAUCUCUGUCACAGGGGCGGAGCUACAGUACCUAUCGGAGUUCGAGCAAAUUCAGUAGCUUUUACGUAUAUCCUAUAUUUAUAUUACUAAAUUCUGAAUAUAUGUAUAUUAUUAUGUACUGUGAACCCACUAUCAAACAUUGUUACUUGACCCAGUGAUUGUUGGAUCAGUUUUAAGGCAUCUUUGGCCCAUAGACGUGGGUUCAAACCCCAGUAGCAACAUAUGUUUUUUUCCCUUGAAAAUCCUGGCUUCGCUUCUGAAAUAACAUGAAAACUUGGUACUGAUUUUUGAAAAUCUUGGCUCUGAAAUAACAUGAAAACUUAGUAGUGAUUUUUGUUGCCUGAUGCAUCCUUUCAAGUGGUCCAGUUUAUGAUAGGAAUUAAAUUAGUUUUGACUUAUAUUGCUCGGACUCUUUAAAAAUAUUAUUGAGGAUGUCGGAUUAUGAAAUAGAUAUUUUUAAAGGAUCCGAUAUGGGUCCAUCAAUAAUUUUGAAAGGUAUAAACAAUAUAGCUUUUGACCGUUUUGACUUUUUGAUAUAUGAAUGUUGGACUAGAUCUUCUAUCUAUGUUGAUAAGCUGAUGGAAAUUACAGAAUCAACUAGAGCACAAGAAAGCUGAAUAUGUAAAGAAGCUAAAAUAUGAAGUAGCAUUACUUCGUAAGGAGGCAGAUGAGAAGAGAGCCAUGGUUUACCCAAGACGAGGAAAAGAACUUCUGAAAACUGUAAACAACGAUUGUUAUUUGCCAAUUAUAUAAUAUCUAUGAUAAAUUAUAGUGUUUUGCAUGCAAAAAAUCUUUUAAUAUUGGAUCCGUACGACUAUUUAAUUUUAAUAUAAGAAUGAUUUAUGAGUAAACGAGAGAUAAGAAUGAUUUAUAAGUAAGAAAAUUUUUAAAAUGGAAAAACGUNNNNNNNNNNNNNNNNAAGAGUUGGAAGACGGACGUGCUUCUACAAUUUGGAUCAUGAGGCAACACAUUACACGUGUCAGAGUUGAAAUCUAUAGCUAUUUACAGAAAGUGGACGGUGAAAAUAUUGAACGUACUAUACAAGUUUAUGUUAAAUCGAAAAUAAUUGAAGAUACAAGACUGUAGGAAUAGGUAAAAUUUUAUUUAUAAUACAAAAAUAUUUAUAUGUCUUGUUGUGAUCCAGUCACAACAGCAAUAGCAGUAGCCAUAUUUACAUUCUGAGUCAAUAGAUGUGUAAAUUUUACACGUAUCUUUAAAAUCAUUAAUAUAUACAAUUAUUAAAUUAAAUGUAAAUAAAAAUUUUAAAAAAACUAAAAUUUUAAAUUUAUAAAAUUAAAUUCUAACAUUAUCAAUACCGACUACUCUUAACUUUCUCUCUCUUGGUCCAAACUUUCCACAUUUAUUAAUUUUCUUUACGAAUUCCAACUCCAGGGGCGGUAGGGCGUUAAUUGCUGCUUGUUCACAUGCUAUCGUAGUUUUUGGCGACACGUGUGUCUAUCAUGCAAAACUGUGGAAGUAAAAAUCUUUCUCCACUUUUAUUUGUCGCAUAUAUAUAUAUAUAUANNNNNNNNNNNNNNNNNNNNNNNNNNNNNNNNNNNNNNNNNNNNNNNNNNNNNNNNNNNNNNNNNNNNNNNNNNNNNNNNNNNNNNNNNNNNNACUUUAAUAAGUUCACUUUAAUAUUAUAAAAAAGUAUCUGAAUUAAUAAAUAAAUUGAUGAUUUUAUUAAAUACGACAAACACUUAAAACAGGGCAUUAAUAUAUAAAUAAAAUAUUAAAAACAAUUUUAAACUAUAUUAAAAGAAAUUACUAGGGCUAUAGAACGAUACUCGAAAUAGGAGAAGUAAAGCAAUUGGAAAUCAAAACGUACAAGAUAGUAUGUACUACAACUAUACGACAACAGAUAUAACUAAUACAUUACGUAGAAUAUGAAAUAUAUGCAAUUAGAGAAUCAUAAAGUUCAACGAUUCAAAGCUAACUCGAUUUUCUGAAGUGUUAUAAUUUUAUAGUAAAAAAAUUAAAAAUAACAAACCUUGUAUAGUUGUAUUAAUUGGUCCACCUUGAUAAGAAAGAUAAUUCUUCUUUGAAGUCGAUAAUAUUGUGGAUGAACAUCUUCAUCUCAUUCUAGUACUAAAAGUAAGAAGAUCAAUAUAUGACUUAAGGUUAUGUAUAUACUACCCUCCAUAAACCCCUAUUAUUUUCACUAUAUCCAUAAUUAAAGAAAAAAACUUAAAAAUAAAUAAAGAACCAAUCUGCUAAAUUUAAAUUUCAUGUCCUUAUGUCCCCCUAAAAAGGGUAAGUCGUGAGUCGUGAUCGCAUUAUAGUUUUGCUCAACAUGUAGAGAAAAUUAAUAGCGUAUUUUAUUAAAAAGAUGAAGAAUCAAAAUUAAGUUCAAAUUUUUAACAACAUUUAUAAUGAAAAAAAAAAAGAAAAAGAACCAAAGUGCAUGCCUUCUUAUAGGAUUUGCUAGGGACCCAACAAAGAAAUCAACAAACCUAUUUUUCUCUACUCUUAAUUUUCUCGUCUUAAAUAAGUUAUAAAAAUUAAUGAUUCCUAAUAGUGUUUGCCUUAAAUACGUUAGAAAAAUGAACGUCCUCUUUCAUAUAGGCAAAAAAAGAUAAAAUUUACCUACAUUAAUUUACCAUAUAUUUUAUUCUCAUUACAUGUAUGUAGUUUUUAGGACUUCUUAAUUUUAAAUAAUUAAUUAAUAAUUAGUUAAAAUAGGUGAAAAGACAAUUUUGUCAAUUACGGAUUCUUUUAGUAAAGGGUAAAAAGUUCAAAUCACUUUUCUAAAGGUCUUCACACUUUUAAUAUAUUAUAGAUUAUAUAUUAUAGAUAUGAGUAUAUUUAGGAAUUUAAUACCAGUUUAUAUUUUCUCAGUAAUUUUACCAUCCAAAGUUUAGAUCUUUCAUUAAGUUUUAAGGAAAUAUAUUUAUGCAUGAAAUGGCGUAAAAAAUUAAACAGUUUUAAAUAAUUUAAAUUUUUAAUUAUUUUGAUUUAUGAUAUUUUUUCUUCUAUUCAAUUCAAGUGACACUGAUAUAAUUUUGAGAGUCGAUCAGCAACAACAAUAACAACAACAAACCCAGUAUAUUCCCACAUAGUGGGGUCUGGGGAGGGUAGAGUAUCGCAGUCCAUAUCACUACCUCGAAACCCACUUAUUUGCUCCAUACCUCAAAAGAGGAUCGAGCAAAUAACGAUUAAAAUAGCAAAGCUAACAUAUCUUAAAUGACUCAUAAUAACUAAUUAGAAAUGAUAUAACAAAAUUGCUAUAAAAAAUAUGUGCGAAAAUAACUUUAAGUGGACCUCAUUUAAGAUGUCAAGUUAAUUUGAAAUAUCAAGAGUUAAUUUGUUAUUUUAUGUCCAUUUUACAUUUUUAAUUAAAUACUAUUAAUUUUUAAAUACUUAGAUGACUUAUAACAAUUAAUUAUGGAUAAUAUAGUAAAAUUAUGGUUGAAACAGUUAACGCAGACAUGUCAUAAAUGUCUAUUUUACUUUUUAUUAAAUAUUAUUAAUUUACUAAUAUAUAAAUAAAAUAUAAUAAUUAAUAAGGGUGAUAUAGUAAAAUCACGAAGCAAGCAUGGUCGGCAAACAUGUCGACCACCGAAACAAAUUUUUUUAUGUAUUUCACGCUUCAUUUAUUUGUACGUGAUAUAAUAAAAUCACGACUGAAGUAGCUGAAGCAAGAAUGUCAUAGAUGUCUAUUAUACUUUUUUAAUUCAAUAUUAAUAAUUUUUUAAUAUAUAAAUGCCUUAUAAUAAUUAAUUAGGAAUGAUAUAGUAAAAUCACGAUUGAAGCAGCUGAAGCGGACUUAAUUUUCUAAUACAUAAAUGACUUAUAAUAAUUAAUUAAGGAUGAUAUAGUCAAAUCACGGCUGAAGCAGCUAGACAUGUCAUAAGUAUCUCUUUUACUUUUUAAAUUAAAUAUUAUAAUUUUUUAAUACAUAAAUAACGUAAAACGACUUAUAAUAAUUAAUUAAAAAUGAUAUAGUAAAAUCACGGUUGAAGCAGCUGAAGCAUACAUGUCAUAAAUAUCUCUUUUACCUUUUUAAUUAAAUAUUAUUAAUUUUUUAAUAUAUAAAUGACUUAUAAUAAUUAAUUAGGAGUAAUAUAGUAAAAUCACAAUUGAAGCAGCAGACACAGGCAUGUCAUCCACAAGGUUGUCUGCUUCAACAGCUUCAUUCACACUUAUAUAUUAGUGAUAGAUGUACUAGAUAUCAAAGGCCCCAUUAUGUGGAAUACACUAGAUUUGUUGUUAUUGUUGUUGUAAAGGCCCGUGGUAAUACGAUCCAAUAUAUAUUAUUUUUUAGUCUUAAUUUAUGUGACGCAAAUAAAAUUUUGAUAAUUAAUUAUAUUUUAAAUAUUUUUUAGAUAUUCAAAGUUGUUAGCUAUUAUAAUUUGUAAUAGUUUUUUUUACAUUAUAAUUUACUAUUUUAAGCUGUUAGCCAUUAUAAUUUAUACUACUCUCCUUGUCCAAACUUUUGUAGCCCUGAUAGUCAAUUAUAUUUUAAAAAUAAUUUAAUUUUAAUUAUUAUGAUUUAUAAUAUUUUUUAUUCUAUUUUAAUUUAAGUGACACUUAUAUAAUUUCGAGAGUCAAUCAAAUAUAAAGGUUGAAAUCGCGAAGCAGACAUGUCUUAAAUGAUUCAUAAUAACUUAUUAGAAAUUAUACAUUAAAUUACUAUAAAAAAUAGUUGUGAAAAAAAUUUAAGCGGGCCUCAUAUAAGAUGUCAAGUUAAUUUAACACAUCAAUUUAAUUUAUUAUUAUUAUUGUUUAUUUUAUUUUUUUAUUAACUAUUUUUUAAAUACUUAUGACUCAUAAUAAUUAAUUAAAGAUAAAAUAGUAAAACUACAGUUGAAAGAGCUGAAGCAGACAUGUCAUAAAUGUCUAUUUUAUUUUAUUUCAUUAAAUAUUAUUAAUUUUUUAAAGUGUAAAUGACAUAUAAUAAUUAAUUAGGGAAUAACUUAUUAGAAGUGAUAUAACAAAAUUAAAAUUCAAAAUAGUUGUGAAAAUAAUUUAGAUGGACCUCAUAAAUUAUGUCAAGUUAAUUUAAAACAUCAAUAGCUAGUUUAUCAUUUUUUUGUUUAUUUUAUUUUUUUAUUAAAUAUUAUUAAUCUUUAUAAUAUUUAAAUGAAUUAUAAUAAUUAAUUAAGGAUGAAAUAGUAAAAUUAUGAUUGAAGCAACUGAAACAGACAUGUCAUAAAUGUUUAUUUUNNNNNNNNNNNNNNNNNNNNNNNNNNNNNNNNNNNNNNNNNNNNNNNNNNNNNNNNNNNNNNNNNNNNNNNNNNNNNNNNNNNNNNNNNNNNNNNNNNNNNNNNNNNNNNNNNNNNNNNNNNNNNNNNNNNNNNNNNNNNNNNNNNNNNNNNNNNNNNNNNNNNNNNNNNNNNNNNNNNNNNNNNNNNNNNNNNNNNNNNNNAUUUUAUAUUUUUUAUUAAAUAUUAUUAAUUUUUUAAUACUUAAAUAAUUUAUAAUAAUUAAUUGGGGGUCACCUUCACUUGCUUUUUUCACUCUUCUAUAUAUUAGAACUAGAGGAGCAUGACUCGUGUCAGCACGGACCCAAACAUUAAGAUAUUUUAAUUAUGUACGAUAAGUUAAAUUGAUGUCAAUUCGAAUUAUGAACUGUAAAACAUGAAUACACAAAAUUAACAUAUUAACUAUUUGAUAGUAUUUUUCAAGGAACUAAGUCUCACAAGAUAAUUAUGUAUAUUUUAUUCAUAUAAAUGACAAAAUUUUGUGCAUUUUUAAAUUUAGAUCUUUAAUCAUAUGAUAAAGGGUUAUCUAGUUUUGCAUAUUACAUCACAUGUGGCUUGCAAUUAAUGACCCAAAAUUGUAUUUUACUCCCCUACUAAGUCGAUAUAAAUAUUUUUUGCUUUCAUUUUCUCCUUCUCUUUUAUUUGUCAACUUGUUCUUUGAAGUUAAAUUAAAUUAAUAUUUUAAAUUUAUUUUAAGUAUUUCAAAAAUUAUAUAAAAAAGAAAACUAUAUGUUAUCAUUUUUCAUAUUAAUUUAAGUUAUUUGAUUUUGAGAACACGAGAAAACAUACUUAUGUAGAUGUUUUAUUGAACUAUGCUUUUAUAUAUGUUCCUAGUGGUUUGUUAGGGUGUAUUAAAAUAAUUUCGAAUAGAAUGUAUUAGUAAUGUCUGCAUUAAUAAUACUUGUAUUAGUAAUACUGAUAUUAUUCAUUAUUUCUUAUACACUGCUUGGUGUGAUGUAUUGAAACUUGCCUUUUCAAUCUUAAUAUAUUUAAACAAAAAAAUUUUAAAAAAUAAAUUGUAUAUAUAUUUUAAGAUUCAUCCGAGAUUUAGCACGGGCUCAAUAUAUGUUAUUUUUUUUAAUCAUAAUUUAUGUGACACAAAUAUAAUUUAGAUAAUCAAUCAUAUACUUAAUAUGAUUUUAGAUAUUUUAAGUUGUUAACUAUUGUAAUUUAUAAUAUUUUUAUGUUAUUUUCAAAUAAUAUAUGUUACUCUCCUUGUCCAAACUUUUGUGGCAUUGAUAGUCAAUUAUAUUUUAAAAAUAAGUGAAGUUUUUAAUCAUUGUGAUUUAUAAUACUUUUCUUCUAUUCCAAUUUAAGUGACACUAAUAUAAUUUUGAAAGUCAAUCAAAUAUUUUAUAUCUUUUAAAUUUUUUAAGUUGUUAUUGUGAUUUAUAGUAUUUUUUACAUAUUUUUUGAAAUAUAUAACAAAUUAUUUUUUUUUUAAAAUAUUAAGUUGUUAACUAUUGUAAUUUAUAAUACUUCAUGUAAUUUUUAAAUAAUAUAUGUUACUCUCCUCGUCCAAAAUUUUGUGUCAUCGAUAGUUAAUUAUAUUUUUUAAAUAAUUUAAAUUUUUAAUUAUUGUGAUUUAAAAUACAUUUUCUAUUUCAAUUUAAGCGAUACAAUGCUUUGAUGGCCAUAAUAAUUAAUUAGGAGUGAUUUAAUAAAAUCACGAUUGAAGCAGCUAAACAGACAUAUCUUAAAUAACUUACAACAACUAACUAAAAGUGAUAUAGGAAAAUUACUAUAAACAAAAUACUUGUGAAAAAAAUUUAAGUGGACCUCAUAUAAGACGUCAAGUUAGUUUAAAACAUCAAGAAUUAAUUGUCAUUUUAUAUAUUUUAUUUUUUUAUUAAAUAUUAAUAAUUUUUUAAUACUUAGCUAACUUAUAUUAAUUAAUAGGGGGUGAUAUUUAGUACGAUUAUGUUUGAAGUAACUGAAGCAGACAUGUUAUAAAUGUAAAUUUUAGUUUUUUAGUAAAAUAUUAUUAGUUUUUUAACAUAUAAAUAACUUAUAAUAAUUAAUUAGAGAUGAUAUAGUAAAAUUAUUGUUGAAGAAGAUAUAUCAUAAAUGUUUAUUUAACUUUUUUAAAUUAAAUAUUAUUAAUUUUUAGUAUAUAAUUGACUUAUAAUAUUUAAUUAAGGGUGAUACAGUAAAAUUAUGAAUUUAAUAGUAUUAGUUUUUUUAAUACAUGAAUGACUUAUAAUAAUUAAUCAGGGGUAAUAUAGUAAAAUCACGAUUAAAACAGCUGAAACAGACAUGUCGUAAAUGUCUAUUUUACCUUUUUAAUUAAGUAUUAUUAAUUUUUAAUAUAAAAAUAAUUUAUAAUAAUUAAUUAGGAGUGAUAUAGUAAAAUCACGAAAUAAGUAAUCUGCUAAAGCAGGCAUGUCGAAACCUUCUCUUAUAUUGAAAUAUAUAUAUUUUAAUUAAUACUCCUUCUGAUGUUUAGAAGUUAUUUUCACAAUUAUUUUUUAAUUGCUCUAUUUAUAUUGAUCAUACCUCUCAAUAAAUUUUUUAUUUUUUUACUCCCAUAAAAUUAAAAUUACUUUUAUUAUUAUUUUUCUAACUAAAUUUAGAUUGGAUGCAUUUCUAAUUUCUUCUUAAUUAAUGAUUUUGAUAAUUUAAAUAAGGAUACAGUAAGAAAAUUUUAAUCAAAUUAUUCUUAUAGGAUAAAAAAAUACUUAAAAGAUACAAAUACAAUCUAAAUAUAACACGUAAAAAAGAAUGGAAGAAGUAUUAUAUUUUUAAAAAUAAUUAGAAAAAUAAAUAAUUAAUUUUAGGCGUAAAUUAUGAAUAUAUUAUUUUUAAAUUAUUUUUAUAUAUAUUAAAAAUGACAGAUAAAAAUAAAAAUAUAUUUUGAAAUAAUGUAUAAGUAAAAGUGAAUGAAAAGAGUAUCUGUUGCUCCUCGUCCAAAAACUGAGUUAGACUUUGAAAUUUACGAAAUCUUAUAUUGCCAUUUAACCUAUAAUUCAUCUUAAUUAUUGAGUGUAAUAUUAAAUAAUUAUAAAGAUUACUAUGAUAAGUUAUCUAUUAUAAAUAUUGCAUUUUAAAAAGAAUUAUUAAAUUCGUCCACACCGGUAACACUACCUCCGCCCUAUCUCCACAACGUCACUUUCAAUCUUGCAGGGGAAAUAAAAAUGGUUUCUGCAGCAGUUUACACGGUACAGCUGUUAGCCCAUAUGUUAUUGGGCCUUUAGUUUAUGGACCUUUAGGUUAUUGGCUAUGUAUAUAUAUAGCCUACUUUUGUUCUAGUUAGUUUUUAUGCUUUUCAGAUUAUAUUGUAAACCUUAGCCUUUCUUUCUUUCAAUAAAGUUCUAUUAACAUGGUAUCAAAGCUAGUUUGAUCCAUGUCCUUUGAUUUGUUGGUUGAAGAUUUUGUAGCAGGCACCUACUGCGCGGAUCGUUUGCUGUAUUCGUUUACUGUCUGGUAUUGUUCGUCUUUCGUUCUUUUGCUUGCUGCCAUUGUUGUUCGUUCGGAAUUGUUCAACCUAGGGUUUUGCAUCUUUUUGUUUUUUUGAAUUGUUUGUGUGUUGCUGUGUUUACAAUGACUGGAAAGGAUGAUUCUCUCCAGUCCAUUAGUACUCAAUUAGAUGGUAAGAACUAUGCAUAUUGGAGUUAUGUCAUGAAGAAUUUUCUUCGUGGGAAGAAUAUGUGGGGUUAUAUCACUGGAGUAAAACCAAGACCUAUCGAUGAUAAAACUGAAAAUUUUGAUUUGUUGGUGGACUUAUGGGAAACUAAUAACUCCAAGAUUAUCACUUGGAUCAACAAUUCUGUAACUCAGUCAAUUGGUAUGCAAUUGGCUAAGUAUGACACAGCAAAGGAGGUCUGGGAUCAUUUGGAAAGACUGUACACUCAGUCUAAUUUUGCUAAGCAGUACCAGUUGGAGUAUGAUAUCCGUGCUCUUCAACAGCAUGAUCUCAGUAUUCAAGAUUUUUAUGCUGCCAUGUCGGAUUUGUGGGAUCAAUUGGCACUUACUGAAUCUGCAGAGUUAAAAGGUUUUGGGCCGUACAUUGCUAGACGGGAAGAGCAACGCUUGGUUCAGUUUUUGAUGGCACUACGUUCUGACUUUGAGGGCCUACGUGGAACAAUCCUUCAUCGAUCUCCCCUCCCUACUGUUGAUUCUGUGGUUCAUGAACUGAUUGCAGAGGAGACUCGUAUCAAGUCUCAAGUGGAUAAAGGGUCUAAAGUAACUACUACUCCUGUCGUGUUUGCUGCUUCAACUGAUCAGUCUAGGCCACCACGUACUCAGACUCGACAAUCUCCUAAAGUUGCAUUUGAUGAGUGUGCAUUCUGCAAACAGAAAAAUCAUUGGAAGGCUCAGUGUCCGUUGUUACUUAACAAGGUCAAACAGCCUCAAUCUGGGCAGCAACAGAAAUAUGGGCAGCAAAAGUCUCCGUCACGCUCCUCUGGUGCUCCUCCAUGGUCAUCUCGUCCUCCACAGUUCGCUGCUGCUGCACCAUCUGUAGAUGUUGAGUCUGUUAGCACUAUGCCACCUUCUGCGUUGGAUCCCCAGGUUUUCGAACAGUUCAGACAGUUCUUCGUUUCUAAUCCUACGGCCAUGUCAGCAUCUAUGUCUCAUUCGGGUUCAGUUUCUUCUAGUACCUCAGGUAUUCCUUCCUCCUUGUGGAUAUUGGAUUCUGGUGCGUCUCAUCACAUGUCCCCUCAUUUGUCAUCGUUUGGUUCUUUGUCACCCAUUUCACCAAUCUCUGUUAUGUCCGCGAGUGCUGUACCUAUGUCAGUCGAGGGUGUUGGUUCUGUUACUACCCCUCACAUUGUCCUCUCUGAUGUUUAUUACAUUCCCAAACUUGCUUUAAAUCUUGUUUCGGUCAGUCAGUUGUGUAAGGCUGGUAAUUGGGUGUUUUUUUCUGAUUCUGUUUGUGUUAUACAGGACCAACACACUCAGAGGGUGAUUGGGACCGGCCGUAGGUUGGGGGAACUCUAUGUCUUGGAGAAUCUCAAAGUGUCUGUAGUUGCUGCCUCUAGCAUAGAUUUAUCUUCUUUUCGUUUGAGUCCUUUGUCUUCUCAGUUUUAUCUUUGGCAUUCCAGAUUAGGACAUGUGUCAGUUUCACGUUUACGUUUUUUGGUCUCUAGUGGUGCUUUGGGUCAUGUGAACACUAGUGAUAUUUCAGAUUGUAGUGGUUGUAAACUGGCAAAAUUUUCUGCCUUACCGUUUAAUAAAAGUGUGUCUUAUUCUGUUGCUCCUUUUGAUAUUAUUCAUUCUGAUGUAUGGGGACCAGCGCCAGUAUCCACUAAGGGUGGAUCGACCUAUUAUGUUUCGUUUAUAGAUGACUAUACUCGUUAUACCUGGGUGUAUCUUAUGAAACGCAGAUCUGAUUUCUUUGGCAUUUACAACAACUUUAGAGCCCUUGUUAAAACACAACAUUCGGCUGUGAUAAAGUGUUUCAGGUGUGACUUAGGGGGUGAAUAUACCUCUAAUGACUUCACUCAGUUACUUGCCUCUGAUGGUACCAUACACCAGUCAUCUUGUACCGACACUCCUGAGCAGAACGGUCUGGCAGAAAGAAAACAUCGUCAUAUUGUUGAGACAGCACGCUCUUUACUUUUGUCUGCAGAGGUUCCUAGUAUUUUUUGGGGAGAAGCAGUUCUAACUGCUGUAUAUGUGAUUAAUCGUAUUCCUACUGCAUUGACUUCAGGGAUGUCUCCGUUUGAGAAACUAUAUGGUCACCCGCCGAAUUAUUCUGCAUUACGAGUUUUUGGAUGUACUUGCUUUGUUCUUCGUCCUCAUGUUGAACGAAAUAAGUUAGGGUCAAAAUCAGCUAUAUGUGUGUUUUUGGGGUAUGGUAUUGGACAAAAAGGAUAUCGUUGCUAUGAUCCUGUAAGUCAGAAAUUAUAUGUUUCACGACAUGUCACUUUUUUGGAACAUAUUCCUUUUUAUUCCAUUCCAGCUAAAACCCAUGAUGUGACAAAGUCAGAUAUUCGGCUUAUUGAUCCCUUUGGGAUUGACAUAGAGGUUCCAGUUCCGGAUUCAUCCAUGCCAUCUGGUGUGCCACCUGAUAGUGCUUCAGCCUCGCCUGUGCCUGAGUCUGCUCCUUCGACUGUUGAGACUGGAGACCCACCACCUCUGAGGAGGUCUACUCGACCUUGUAAGUCCACCAAACUGCCAGAUUUUUACUAUUCUACAUAUUCAGCCUCAUUUGCUUCCUUUAUUGCAAACAUACAUCAUUUGUCUGAACCUGAGUCGUAUAGAGAGGCUGUGUCUGAUCCUCUUUGGCAGAAUGCUAUGGCUGAGGAACUUGCUGCUCUUCAUCAUACACAUACAUGGGAUUUGGUUACUCUCCCACCUGGUAAGCAUGCGAUUGGUUGUCGAUGGGUGUAUAAGAUAAAAACAAAAUCUGAUGGGUCUGUUGAGCGAUACAAGGCAAGACUUGUGGCAAAAGGGUAUUCACAACAAUAUGGUAUGGAUUAUGAGGAGACUUUUUCCCCCGUAGCAAAGAUGACGACUGUUCGCACUAUGAUUGCUGUUGCAUCCGUUCGACAGUGGAAGAUAUUUCAGAUGGAUGUCAAGAAUGCUUUUCUGAAUGGUGAUCUCCACGCGGAAGUUUAUAUGACUCCUCCCCCAGGUAUUGACCACCAGCCAGGUGAAGUUUGUCGGCUUCGAAAAGCUUUAUAUGGUCUCAAACAAGCCCCUCGUGCUUGGUUUGAGAAAUUCUCCACUGUUAUUACUUCCCUUGGAUUUGUCCCGAGUAACCAUGAUUCAGCAUUGUUUGUUAGAUGUACAAGUGCAGGGCGAAUUCUAUUGUCCUUAUAUGUAGAUGAUAUGAUUAUUACUGGUGAUGAUCAUAGUGGUAUUGAGUUAUUGAAGCAUGAUUUGGCUCAUCGAUUUGCAAUGAAGGACUUGGGCUUGCUGCGUUAUUUUCUGGGUAUUGAGGUGGCUCAGUCUAAGAAAGGGUAUCUUCUUUCUCAGACUAAGUAUAUAUCUGACUUGUUUACACGGGCGCGUCUUUCUGACAACAGGACUGUAGAUACUCCCCUUGAAACCAAUGCACGUUACUCUCCUAGUGAUGGUGUUCCAUUAUCAGAUCCGAGUCUUUAUCGGACUAUUGUGGGUAGUUUGGUUUAUCUUACGGUUACUCGUCCAGAUAUAGCACAUGCAGUUCAUGUUGUUAGCCAGUUUGUUACUGCUCCUACUUCUGUGCACUGGGGAGCUGUACUUCGUAUUCUAAGGUAUCUUCGUGGCACUCAGUUUCAGAAUCUCUUGUUUCCCUCGACGUCAUCUCUCGAGUUGCGAGCCUAUAGUGAUGCUGAUUGGGAUGGAGAUCGCAAUGAUCGUAAAUCCACCACUGGUUUUUGUGUGUUUCUUGGAGACUCUUUAAUCUCGUGGAAGAGCAAGAAACAAGAUGUUGUCUCUAGAUCUUCCACGGAGGCUGAGUAUCGUGCUAUGGCUGUGACUACAUGUGAGAUUAUUUGGUUACGUUGGCUUCUUGCAGAUAUGGGGGUUCACAUUUCUAUGCCUACUCCCCUGCAUUGUGAUAACAAAAGUGCGGUACAAAUUGCAAAGAAUUCUGUCUUCCAUGAGCGUACGAAGCACAUUGAGAUUGAUUGUCACUUCACCCGUCAUCAUUUACAGCUCGGGACCAUAUCGCUUCCUUUUGUUCCAUCGUCUUUGCAGAUUGCUGACCUUUUUACGAAGGCUCAGUCGGCGUCUCGAUUUCGUUUUUUGUGUGACAAACUCUCAAUGCUUAUUGCUGUUGCAUUGUGAGUUUGAGGGAGGAUGUUAGCCCAUAUGUUAUUGGGCCUUUAGUUUAUGGACCUUUAGGUUAUUGGCUAUGUAUAUAUAUAGCCUACUUUUGUUCUAGUUAGUUUUUAUGCUUUUCAGAUUAUAUUGUAAACCUUAGCCUUUCUUUCUUUCAAUAAAGUUCUAUUAACAACAGCAUGUGAAAAAGACGAUGCAGAGAGCCAGAAAUGGCCCUUUGAUUACAAAACAUCAGAAGAGAGAAUUGCAUCUACUUUACGACGAAUAUAAUGCUUCUCGACUUCCACCUCACCUAAACUUAUCGAAAAACAAACUAAAGCAUAAUUAUCUACUAACAUUUUAUACUAAUCCAUAAACUUUAUGAUGGUAUAAUAUGCCACAGAUUACAAUAGUUACAAUUAAAAUAAUAAAAUAAAUAAAAAAAGAAAAUACUAUAAUCUCCUUUUUUGCUGAGGUACAGAUGUCUCGCUCAUUUAAGCCCGCCGCGACAUAAUCUAUAUAGUCCCCUUCAAGUUACAACAGCCCAUCAGAUGUACAACUCAAAUAACUUCGGAUUAGUUGAAGAGUCCAAAGCUCCGCCAUAAGAAUACAUUCCUUCAACAUAUAUUUACUCUCUUUGUAUAGUGAAUAUAGUUAAAGAUUUAUUAUAUUUUCUUCGUCUCAAUUCUUUAUUUCACUAAUAUAAUUAUUUUCUUUUGUAUAGUGAAUAUAGUUGUAGACUUAGAAUAUUUUCUUUGUCUCAACUCUCUCUUUCAUCACUACACACUAUAAUUUUUUUCACAAUCAUAUUUUCUUGUACAUGCAAGACUACCUCUAUUUAUAGGUGAGGUAUUCAUCCUUGUAUUGAAUAAGAAGAAUAAAAAGGGAUGGUAAAAAGGAAAAAUCAAGUCUUUAGGUUACAAGAGUUAUAAGAAAUAAUGGCACUAAUAGUCAUGAAAGUUACAAUAAAAUAAUGAGAGAAGUUACAAAUUACUAAAGUCAUAUUUUACCACCAUUAACAAUUAGAGUAAUAUGAGUAGAUAAAUAGUCUUGUUUUUACAUAUGUUACAUGCAACUAAUACAACUAAUAGUUAUAUGAGUUACACGACAUAAUGUGGUAUAUUAUGGAUAAAUAAAAUGUUAGAAGUUACAUGAGUUAGCAAAAUAUAAUGACACCACUUUCCCCACUUUAUAUUCAUAAAUUAUCAUGCAAAUUAAGAUUUUAAUAUUAAAAUGCACAAUAACACCAACACUUUAAAUUGCAUAUAAAAAUUAUGACAUUACAAAAAAAUGAGUCACUGUCUUAAUUCGUGAUCUUCAUAUCCUCCCAUCUAAUACACUUCUAGAAAAAAAAAAUAGCACUGAAUGGCCAUAAAAACAUGGCCCAAAUUUGACCAUAGUUUAAAAAAAAAAAACUGUAAUGACCAUUCUCUUUUAAAACAAACUAUUUUUGUUUUCUUUUUUUAAAUAAAAAAAUUAAAAUCUUUGUUAUUCCCUAAACUUAAAAGUUAAUUCCCGCAUUGAAAAAUGGUAAUAAAUAAAACAUAAUUAUUAUGAUCGUUCAUGAGAUUUAAUUUCAAAUUCUCAAUAUAUAAAUGAUUAAUGUUGAACACUUUAUAAUAUGAAUAUACUUUCUAAAUUUUAAAAUGAAAUACUUACACAUGUACUUUGAUAAUUUUAUAAUUACACCUCCUAUGAAGUGUCUCUAUAAUUGAAUAUAUAAUAUAAUUAUUAAAUGAUAAAUUAUAACCAUAAACAUAAAUAAAAUAUUUUUGAGAAGUUAUUCUAACAAAAUUUUAAAACAAGGGUAAAAAAUAAUUAUUCGAUAUUAUACAACUUAUUAAAACAUACCCAUUAUAAAUAAUUUUCUAUGGCUUUAAAUACGUAAUUUGUUUGUAAUUUUAUUUAACUAUAAUAUUUCAUUAUAUAUAAUAUUACAAAGUGGCUAGGAAGGAGGCUAAGUUAGCAGUUACGACUGCUAAGAUAACAUCGAUUUUUUUUUUUGAAAAAAAGGAUAUUAUACAACUUAUUAAAACAUACCCAUUAUAAAUAAUUUUCUAUGGCUUUAAAUACGUAAUUUGUUUGUAAUUUUAUUUAACUAUAAUAUUUCAUUAUAUAUAAUAUUACAAAGUGGCUAGGAAAGAGGCUAAGUUAGCAGUUACGGCUGCUAAGACAACAAUGUUUGAGAGCCUGUAUGUGGGGUUAGAGAAGAAAGAUGGGGAAAAAAGAUUGUAUAGGCUGGCUAAAGUUAGGGAGCGGAAGGGUCGUGACCUAGAUCAAGUAAAAUGCAUUAAGGGGGAGGGUGACAGAGUUUUGGUGGAGGAUGUUGACAUUAAGAGGAGAUGGCAGGAGUAUUUUCAUAGACUGUUGAAUGAGGAGGGGCUCAGAAGCAUUAAGUUAGGAGAGCUGGAGCACUCGGAGGAAAAUCAAAAUUUCAGUUAUUGUAGACGCUUUAAGGUUGAGGAGGUCAGAGAGGUUAUCCGCAGGAUGCGGAGGGGUAGGGCGACGGGGCCUGACGAAAUUCUGAUGGAUUUUUGAAAGUUUUCUGGUGGAGCAGGUUUAAAGUGGUUGACUGAUUAUUUAACGACAUUUUCAAGACUGCGAAAAUGUCUGAGGCUUGUAGAUAGAGUACAUUGAUUCCGUUAUAUAAAAACAUGGGUGACAUUUAGAGUUGCAACAACUAUAAGGGUAUGAAGCUGUUGAGUCACACAAUGAAGAUUUGGGAGAGGAUGGUUGAGCGAAGAUUGAGGAGGGUCGUGUCCAUUUCGGAGAAUAAGUUUGGAUUUAUGCCUGGUCGCUCGACGACAAGGGCAAUACACCUGGUGAGGAGAUUGGUGGAGCAGUAUAGGAAAAGGAAGAGGGAUUUACACAUGGUGUUUAUCGACCUGAAGAAGGCGUAUGACAAAGUCCCUGGGAAGGUUCUUUGAAGAUGCUUGGAGGUGAGGGGAUCUCGGUGGUGUACAUCAGAGCCAUUAAGGAUAUGUACGAUGGAGGAAAAACUCGGAUAAGGACGGUGGGAGGAGACUUAGAACAUUUUUUGGUUGAGAUAGGGUUGCAUCAGGGAUCGACUCUCAGUUCGUUUAUGUUUACGUUGGUGAUAGACGUGUUGACGCGGAGUAUUCAGGUUGAGGUGCCUUGGUGUAUGUUAUUUGCAGAUGAUGUAGUGCUGAUUGAUGAGACGCGGGGGUAUGUGAAUGAAAAAUUGAAGGUCUGGAGGCAAAACCUUGAAUCUAAGGGGUUCAAGUUGAGUAGGUCCAAGACGGAGUAUAUGGAAUGCAAGUUUACUGACUUAAAGCAUGAGGACGAAGUGGUGGUGAGGUUGGAUUCCCAGGUAGUUUGUAAGAGAGAUAGUUUUAAGUAUUUUGGGUCUAUGAUUCAAUAAAACGGAGAGAUUGAUGAGAAUGUAUCUAAACGUAUUGGAGCAGGAUGGAUGAAGUAGAGGCUCGCCUCGGGAGUGUUGUGUGAUAAGAAGGUGCCCUUAAAGCUUAAAGGCAAUUCUACAGAGGCGCAGUCUGGUCGUCCAUGCUAUAUGGUGCGGAGUAUUGGCCAGUCAAGAACUCCCAUAUUAAAAAAUUGAAAGUAGCGAAAAUGAGAAUGUUGUGUUAGAUGUGUGGACUUACUAGUGGGGAUAGAUUUAGGAAUGAGAUUAUCCAGGAGAAGGUGGGAGUGACUUCGGUGGAAGAUAAGAUACGGGAAUGAAGGCUGAGAUUGUUUGGGCAUGUGAUGAGGAGGGAUACGGAUGUCCCAAUUCGUAGGUGUGAUAGCUAGCUUUGGAUGGUUUUAUGAGGAGUAGAGGUAGGUCAAAGAAAUAUUGGAGAGAGGUGAUUAGACAUGACUUGGAGCUGUUACAGCUUACUAAGAAAAUGGCCCUAAAUAGGAAGGUGUGGAGGUCGAGGAUAAGGACAGAAGGCUAGUGCGUGUGUGGGUUGUAACUAGUAGUUAGGGAGCUCUUGCGUAGUCGGGUUAGGAACCCUAGGACUGUGUCUAUUGGUAAGAGCCGCUAGUGUAUGCUACUACUAGGUGGGUGACCUUUUCUUAUUCCUUAUUUCCUAUCUCUUAUUUUCGUAUUGCUCCCAUUUUUUGUGUCUCUCUUAUUUCCACUUUUACUAUUUCCUAUUUCUUUUUCGAUUACGCUACCCAUCCAGUUUCAUGUUUUACUAUGACCUUGAUACCUAUUCUUCAUCUUGAGCCGGGGGUCUAUCAAAAACAACCUCUUUAUUUCUUCGAAGGUAGCGGUAUGAACUGCGUACAUUCUACCCUUCCCAGACUCCACUUGGUGGGAAUACACUGGGUUUGUUGUUGUUGUUGUUGUAUUUCAUUAUAUAUAAUCACUUUUUUAUUGUAGUUUUUAUUUAUUUUUCCCUUUAAAGUUAUUUUAUCUAGAACUACUUAAUAAAGUUUCAAUUAUGUAGGAUUUUCAUUAUAUGCAAGGUUUAAAUGUUUGUAGCAAAAAUAGGAAUAACAUUUCUAGGGAAUGUAACCGUAAGAUUUUCAUAACACAGAAGAUUUAAGUGUUUAGUGUAAUUGACUAGGGUCAAUAAUUAUAAAUUAUAUGAUUUUUAGGAUGUUGAUGUCUGCCAUUUCUAAAAUGUUUUGAGCUUUGAUUAUCUUUAUUGAUAUAUUUUAAAAUUAAAUAUUUAAAUAUGCAGUUUUUAAAUUUAUUUAAACAUACUCCCUUUCGUUUUAUUUUAUUUUACACAAUUUAACAUGACACAUUAAUUAAGAAAAAUAAUUAAUAACAUGGCUAGUUUACGAUUGUAUCCCUAUUAAAUAAUAUUUAUAUUUUAAUUUGAAGAAAAAUAAUUAAUGAAAAAGGUAAACAUGGAAAAAAAUUAUCUCUUUUUGAUUUGUGGAAAAUGAUAAGUAAAAUGAGAAAUCAAAUUAGAAAAUUUGUGACAAGUAAAAUGAAACGGAGGGAGUAAUAAAUAAUAAAAUUACUUAAUUAGAGGUCUCAUUAAUUACAAUUUUAACUAGUGAUUCACAAGUUAUCAAAUCGGCUUAGUAUAGGGGCACAAGACUACAACAUUAGUCCGUGAGUAUUCUUUUAGGUUGAUGUUAACCAGGGUCAUCAAAUUAUUUAAAUUUUUAUUUUAUUUUUUAAAAGAUGAUAGCUAAGAAAUAUGUAAACUUUCACAUUUUUUUGGUAAAUAAACUAUUUUAUUUAACCAAGUGAACAUUUACAACCAAGAAGCUAUAAAACUUCAAAAUUAAUGCGUGACUCUCUUAGGUUGUUAUAAAAUAGGAUUGACACUUAUGAAUCAUAUGAAUUUUAUGAUUUAUAUAGAGUGAUGAUUUCUACCAUAUCUAAAGUGUUUUUAGUUUCAAAUGUCGUUAUUAUAUUAUUUUUAAAUUAUUUUUAGAUAUUUAUUUAAAUAUAUAUUUUAAAUUUAUUUAAACAUGAUAAUUUAUAAAAUUAUUUAAUUAGAAGUCAUAAUAAUAACAAAUAUAAGUAACGAUUCUCAAAUUAUCAAAUCGGUGUAACAUAUGAUCGCAAGACUACAAUAUUAAUGUGUCUCUCUUGGGUUGUUGUGAACUAGAGUCAACACUAUGAAUAAUUUGAUUUUUAUAACUUAUUGAUGUCCACAUCUAAAGUGUUUAAGUUUUGACUACUGUUAUUAAAAUAUUUUCAAACUAUAUUUAAAAUAUCAUUCAAAUAUGCAAAAUUUUAGAUUUAAAAUUGAACUAAUAAAAUAUGCCCAAAUAUAAGUAAUGAUUCACAAAUUAUCAAGCCAACAUAGCAUAGAGGUGCAAGACUACAAUAUUGAUCACGACUUUCUUAGAUUGAUAUGAACUAGGGUUGAUACUUAUGAAUAUAUAUUUUUUACGAUCUCUAAGAUACAUUGAUGUCUUCCAUGUUUAAAGUGUCUACAAUUUUAACUUUCGUUAUUAAAUAUUUUCGAUUAAAAUUAAAAUUUUUGUUAUUAUGUUUAAAUAAAAUUAAAAUAGGUAUUUGAAUAAUUGUCAGACAUAAUUUGUAAGAUAUUUCAAUAACAACAACUCAGCAUACUUUAGACCUGAUAAAUGUUGUCACAUUAUAGAAAUCAUACAUAUAGUUCACAUCCGUCGAACCAAAGAUAGUAAGAUAUAAGUGUUGACCAUACAAGUCUUUCGCCUUUAUGUUACGCCAAUUUGAUAAAUUGCAGAUCGUUAGCUAUAUGUAUUACUAAAUUAACCUCCAAUUAAUUAGUUUUUAAUUAUUAUAUUUAAAUAAAAUUAAGCUAUAUAAUUAAAUAUUUUUUAAACAUAAUUUGUGAAAUAUUUCUAUAACUACAACUCAACACUCUCUAGAAUUUGUAAAUGUCGACACAUUAUAAAAAUCAUGCAUAUAGUUCAUAUGUGUCAAACCAAAAAGAGUGACACAUAAGUGUUGAUCGUACAAGUCUUUCGCUUCAACGUUACGCCAAUUUGAUAAAUUAUGAAUCAUUACUAUAUUUGUUACUAAAACGACCUCUAAUUAAUUAGUUUUUAAUUAUUAUCUUAAAACAAAAUUAAACUAUAUAUCUGAAUAAUUUAUAAAAAUAAUUUGUGAAAUAUUUCAAUAACGACAACUCAUCAUACUUUAGAACUGGUAAAUGUUAACACACUAUAAAAAUCAUUCAUAUUGGCCAUAUGCGUCGAACAAAAAAGAGUGAGACACAAGUGUUGAUCCACAAGUCUUUUGCCUCUAUGUUACGCCGAUUUGAUAAAUUAUAAAUCAUGACUUAUAUUUGUUAUUAAAAUGACCUCUAAUUAAUUAUUUUUUAAGAAUUAUGUUUCAAAAUUAAAAUAUACAUUUAAAUAAUUCUCAAAUAUAAUUUAUAAGAUAUUGUAAUAACGACAACUCAACAUACUUUAGACCUGAUAAACGUCGUCACAUUAUAGAAAUCAUGCAUAUAGUUCACAUCUGUCGAACCAAAGAGAGUGAGAUAUAAGUAUUGAUCAUACAAGUCUUUCACCUUUAUGUUGCACCAAUUUGACAAAUUGCAAAUCUUUACUUAUAUAUAUUACUAAAUUAACCUCCAAUUAAUUAUUUUUUUAUUAUUAUAUUUGUCAUACCCUAUUUUUACCUAAAGUCAAAACGAGCACGACAUUAUGGACUCUAAAAGAAUAAAUUUUGUACAGAGUUGCCACCUAAUUUUUAAGGAAAAUUAGAAAACCUAUUUAAUUAUUAACAAUUAUGACAUUAUUUUAAUCCGUAAAACCAAUUUAGAUUCUAGGUAAGGGUUCAAAUUAUUUCGAAGGGAAGGUAUUAGGCACCCUUCAGAAUCCACAAAUGUAAUUCCCGACCAGACUUAAAUUUUUUACAAGGCGAAGGAAAAAAUCAAUGCUUAUAAAUAAAAUCUAAAAUAUACAGUAAAAUAAUAUAAACUAUUUGCAUAUAAAGAAUGUAUAAAUUACAUAAAUAAUUGUAUAUAAAAAAUGUGUGAAGAUGAUCGGAAGUAUAUAAGAAUAUGUAUGGAAACAAAAAAAAAAUGAAUAAAAAAAAUAUUUUAAAGAAAAAAAUUACGCAAUAUUUUUAAAUGUAUAAGUAUGAAUUAAUUGAUUACAUAUCUAAAUUAAUUUAAUUUUUUGAUAAAUAUUAAUGACCUAAAUUUGUCUAAAUACGCGGUAAAGAUUGUAUAAGUUAAAGCAUUCCCGCCCAAUGCCCCAAAAAUAAAGUUUUCAGUAUGAUAAUAUUUGUACAAAUAUAAGAAUAUAAAAAUACAACGCAAAAUUUAAAAUCUUCCUUGAAUGCCACUCCCAAUGAAUUCUCCUAAUAACCUGUAUAAAUAAACACUUGUAAUAAAAAUGUUAGUAACAAAUAAAUAAUUAUCAAACAAAUAAGAAGAUGUGUGUGCAUAUAUGUAUAAAAAAUAAAAAAUUUCAGUAAAAAAUGUGGGCUCAGAAGAUUUUAGGUAUGUCAUGGCUACAAAGUGGUUGCUCGAUUUAUUAGCCGUCCUAAAUCAUCUUGCCAAGAUACGAAUCAUAAAACUUUUACGUUGUUAUAAAAAUUUUGUCAUAGCCCAAUUUAUUUAUUUUAUUACGUAUUUAUAUACUUAAUAUCAGUCUUUUUAUUUGUGCAAGCCUCAAAAAUCGACGAAAAAUUUCUUGAUCGGUCAACUAGUGUAGUAUUUUAUUCAUUAUCAAUAUAACCGCAAAGUCAGUAAAUAAAAUGGAUGAAAUCCUCCAAAUUUAGGGUCCGUUUGGCCAUGGAUAUAUUUUUUUUUUUUGGAAUUUUUUUUUUCGGAGUUGAAAAUUAUGAUGUUUGGCCAUGAAAAUUUGGAAAACAAUUCUGAAAUUAAAUUCCGAAAAUGGAAAACAACGUUUUGUUGUUUUCCAUUUUUUUCACUCCAAUUUCAACUUCCAUUAUUAUUACAUAUAACCCCAAUCUUUAAUUUUUUACACAAAACCCUCUUAUUAACUAAAUUUCAUAUUUUUUUUAAAAAGACCAAAUUCAUUAAAAUAAUUAAUUCAAGUGAAAAUAAUUAAGAAUUUUCAUCAACAAAUUUAAUAAUAUAUAAAAUAUAUUUAUAUCUAUCAAUCAUAUUUAUCAAAAUAUGUUUUUUCUCUAUUCAAUCGAUUAUGGUUAGAUAAACUUAUUUAGUUCGUACUUGUGAUUUUUUUUUUUUCAAAUUAUAGAAGAAUAACAAUCAUAAUAAUUAGUUUGUUGUUAAUUAUUUUAUCAAUUGAAGACAUAUAUAAAUUAUUUUCUCAACAUUUGGUUGUGUAUUAGAAGGUAAAUUAGUAGUUGAGUGAUUUUGAUAAUUUUUAAAAGUUGACGGUAUAAAAUCAUAUUUUAAAAAGAUUUUUCAAAAGUUUAAAUUUUUUUAAAAAAAGACAUGGUCAAACACAACUCCAACUCCAACUUCAUCUCCAUCUCCAUCUCCAACUCCAACUCCAACUCCAAAAAAAAAAAAAUUUUCAUGGACAAACGGUUACUUAAUUCCCAAAGAAUGCGAACCAGUAGCAGAAUAUAUAAAAAAUUAUGCCAAAUCAAUCCAAAAUAAUUCUGAUAAAAAGGAAAAUAAACUAAGUAGUCGUUUAGCCAUGAAAACUCAAAUUUUCUGGUAUUGGAGUUGAAGUUGGAGUUGAAAUUGGACUUGGACUUGGAGUUGUCUUUGGCCAUGUCUUUUUUUUAAAAAAAAAAAUUGACUUUUGAAAAAACUUUUUUAAAUAUGAUUUUAUGCCUUAACUUUUACAAACUAUCAAAAUCACCCAACUAAAAUUUACCUACUCAUGGAAAAAGAAUAUAAUUAGCCAUUAUUACAAAAAUAAUUAUAUAUACAUGGCCAUAUUUAAUGAAUUUCAAUUAUGGCAUAUAUAAUAUUUACAUUAAUAGCCGUUUUCUCAUAUUUGAAAAUUUUAAAUAUGAAUGUUAUAUUAACAGAUAAUAGCCGUUUUCUCAUAUUUGAAAAAUUUAAAUAUGAAUGUUAUAUUAACAUAUCACUGCUUCCUGUUUUUUAGAUAACAAAUAUUAUCUUUCAAACAAAUUUAUUUUUUUUAGAAAUUUAUUUAAUUUAUUUCCUUCAUUUUUCGUUCCUAAAAAAAUAGGAAAUGAUGAGUUGUUAUUAAAUUUUAGGGUGCCGCUAAUUUAUUUCUUUAAUUUUCUUAUAAAUGAAAGAUUUUACUGUGUGGAAUAAAUUAUUUCUAUGUAAAACAUGUUUUGCAUAUUUAUGGUAUAUUAUAUCAUAUACCAUAAAUAUAUAAAUAUGUUUAGUAUGUUUCUUUAUACUUUGUGUAUUUAUAUAUGUAUGUAUAUGGUAUAUACAUGGCAUAAAUUUCAUAUAUAACAUAUUUUGUAUAUUUAUGUUAUAAAUAUGCUUAGUAUGUUUCUUAAUAUUUUGUAUAUUUAUAUAUGUAUGUAUAUAGUAUAUACAUGGUAUAAACUUUAUAUAUAACAUGUUUUGUAUAUUUCCGUUAUAAAUAUAAUAAUUUAUAUAUUUAUGGGUAUAAAUAUAAUACUUUAUAUAUUUAUGGAUAUAAAUAUAAAUUAACAGUAAAAUAAUAUCUUAAAUAAGGGAUAAAAAUAAUGAUGAGAGAGAAAAAGAGAUAUAUAUUAAUUAAGAUAGCAUUAAGUUUGAAAUUAUAAUUAUCUUAUUCUUUAAAACUGCUACAUACGUAAUAUUGAAAAAAUAAUGUUAUAAGGAGAGUUUUAUGUAAAAAUUUAAAAUAUUGGGAUUAUAUGUAAUAAUAAUAAAAGUUGAAAUUAGAGUUGAAAAAUUGUGAAAACAACAAAAACCUAUUUUCACUUUUCAAAAAAUUUUUUCGAAAUUAUUUUUCAAAUUUUCAUGGCCAAACAUCACAAUUUCCAACUCCAAUUUUUUUUUUCUGAAAAAAAGAAAAAAAAUUCAUGGCCAAACGGGCCCUAAAUGAAUUAGCAGAAGGCAACUCAUAAAACAACAACAAACAUGUAGUAGCUGUUUGGCCAUGAAAAUUAAAAUUUUUCGAAGUUGGAGUUAAAGUUGGAGUUGGAAUUAUGUUUGACCAUGUCUUUUUUGAAUUUUUUUUUUUGACUUUUGAAAAAACUUUUUAAAAUAUGAUUUUAUGUCCUAACUUUUACAAACUAUCAAAAUCACCCAACUAAAAUUUACUAACUAAUGAAAAAGAACAUAAUUAGUUAUUAUUAUAAAAAUAAUUACAUAUAUAUGGUCAUAUUUAAUGAAAUUUAAUUAUGACAUAUAUAAUAUUUAUAUUAAUAAUCGUUUUCUCAUAUUUGAAAAUUUUAAAUAUGAAUGUUAUAUUAACAGAUCACUGCUUUCUGUUUUUUAGGUAACAAAUAUUAUCUUUCAAAUAAAUUUAUUUUUUUAGAAAUUUAUUUAAUUUAUUUCCUUCAUUUUCCAAUCCUAAAAAAUAGAAUAUGAUGAGUUGUUAUUAAAUUUUAGGGUGCCGCUAAUUACUUCUUUAAUUUUUUUAUACAUGAAAAAUUUUACUGUGUAUAAAUAAAUUAUUUCUAUGUAAAAUAUGUUUUGCAUAUUUAUGGUAUAUUAUAUCAUAUACCAUAAAUAUAUAAAUAUACUUAGUAUGUUUCUUUAUACUUUAUAUUUUUAUAUAUGUUUUUAUAUGGUAUAUACACGAUAUAAACUUCAUAUAUAACAUAUUUUGUAUAUUAAUAUUAUAAAUAUACUUAAUAUGUUUCUUAAUACUUUGUAUAUUUAAUAUGUGUAUAUGAUAUAUACAUGAUAUAAACUUUAUAUAUUUCUAUUAUAAAUAUAAUACUUUAUAUAUUUAUGGAUAUUAAUAUAAUACUUUAUAUAUUUAUAGAUAUAAAUAUAAAUUAGCAGUAAAAUAAUUUUUUAAAUAAGAGAGAAAAUUAAAUAGGAGAUAAAAAUAAUGAUGAGAGAUAAAAGAAGAUAUAUAUUAAAUAAGAUAACAUUAAGUUAGAAAUUAUAAUUAUAUUAUUCUUUAAAACUGUUAUAUACUUAAUAUUGAAAAAAUAAUGUUAUAAAGAAAAUUUUACAUAAAAAUUUAAAAGAUUAAGAUUAUAUGUAAUAAUAAUAAAAAUUAAAAUUGAAAUUAAAAAUUUAUAAAAACAACAAAAAUCUAUUUUCUUUUUUCAGAAUUUUUUUUUGGAAUUAUUUCUCAUCAAACACCACAAUUUUCAACUCCAAAUUUUUCUUUUUGUUAAAAAAGGGAAAGAUUUACAUUUCCAAACGGGCCCUUAGUGCACUUACCAGAUCAUCAGAGCACUAUUCUUUCCGAAAAUAAAUCAAAACACAAGAAAUAAACUAUAGCCAACCAAAUCAGGGUAACAAGAUAUGCAAUAGCACAUAAACCAGUAGAAACUCAAUUCAAGGGAGUGUAUUUUCGACGAACAACAAUUAUAAACGGAGAAGGAAGUGGCGUUGCUUCCAUAGCUUUGGCCGGGGCAACGCCAUAUGUACAAAGCUCCGGUCAGAUCGGGCCCAACAAUGGUACAACAACAAUGAGGGGGAGCAGCGGGUGGUGGAGGAAGAUCCGAGGUUGAACUCCGGUGGUUGUUUGGUUGUGAUUCCGGCCAGAUUUGGACGGAGAAGAUAGAAGAAGAGAUUGGGGUAUGUUGGUAUGGUUGUCGGAGCCGUUUGGGGAUGGAGAAAGGAGGAAGAGAGUGGUAAUUUAUGGUGGCUGGUCGGCGGGCUGGUGGAUGUUUCGCCGGUGUUGGUGACUCGUGGUGGUGCGGCGCGGCUGGAGAGGGGGAAAAGAAGAGGGAAAGGGGAGAAGGGGACUGGUUGGUGGAGGUUACCGUGGUGGCCGGAGCUCCGGCGGUAAAGGGCGGCAAGGGAAAGGGGGGAAAAGGAGAAAAAAUACGGGAGAUGAGAGAGAGACUGACGUAUGGAAUCUGAUAUUUGUGUGUGUAUUGUGUGUGUAUAUUGUGUAUUUUUAUUUUUUCUCAAAAAUAAUAAAUAUCCCUCCCAUUCUUUUAUAAUAUAAAGUGACCCCUUUUAUUAUCCAAAAAAAUGAAGAAUUAACCCCUUUUUGUCUCCCUAAUGCAUGAUUUAAACCACGGAUUAUUAUCUUAUGGAUUUUUCACCUUUUAAACUAAAAUAUAUAAAAAAAAUUAUCCAAAAAAUAAAAAUCUCAAUUCGUCAUCUUAAGUGUUUAAAAGUAACGAGGCCUUGACUUGAUUGAUUUGUUUCUCUGUGUAUUAAAAUAAUUAAACUGACUCACAUUUGCAUGCAGAUCAUAUUAAAUAAUGUAUAAAGUAAUGAAUAUCGAUAUAUAAUUACUGAAAAAUAUAAACAACAAAUAAAAAGUAUAAUUAUCUUGAAAAAAAUAUAUUAUGCUAUAAAUAAUUAAAAUUAUAUUAUGCAAUAAAAAAUUACAAUGCUGUGUACGUAUGUAAAUAACUGGGCAAAAAAAAAUUAAAAUAAUAAUAAAAUGAUAAGAAUUCUAAAAUUUAUGAAAUUAAAGAUAAUUAUCAAUAAAUUAUGUAAAAUUAAAAUAUGAAAAUAAAUGUGUAAAAAAUUUUAAAAUAAUGAUGAUUAUCAAUAAUUUAUUAACAAUUGCAAAAAUAAGUGAAAAAUUGUAUAUUGUGCCAUUUAACGAUCAGAGAGCCUAUAUACGUUAAUUUAAGUAUGGAGAGUCAAAAUUAGGUGUCAAUAGUUUGCCCCUUUUCGUUUGAAGAUAAUGUAGAAGUCUUCAAACGAAAACGUUGAUGUGUAGCCAAUUUUGCUCGACAAAAAAAUAUUUUUAAUAAAAAAAUUCUAGUGAACUCCAAUUUGGAUUUGCCUACAUUUUUUGAGUUGCUUGAGAAACAGGUUGGGUAUAGCUCAAAAGCUAUCCCAGUAUGUCCUACUUUUGGUUGGACAAACCCAAUACUUUCGCGAAUUCUAUGCUGCAAAAAUUUACAAAACUAAAAAACAACAGAUAAACUGGUAAUUAAGCUGAAUUUUAUUUUUCAAGAAAUGUAAAAAUAAAUAAACAAAGACAUUACAAGAUUUUAACCAAAGACAAGUAAAAUAUUCAAUUAAAAAUAAAAAUUACAUAAAGAUCUUAUUAGGGAGCAGAUUAACCCAAAAUAUUUCAUUUUAGGGUGGACGGACCUAAUUUAUCAUCAAAUGAUAUGCUUGCAAGUGCAUCAAACUAGGAAGUACUUCUUAAUAAAACAUAAACGAAAAAUUUAACUUGAUUUUCUUUUUUCCUUUUUAAAGAAAUUAAAGAUAACAUGCAGUGCUUAACUAAUUAAGAAAAAUUGUACAGAAAAAGAUAACAUUUAGUGCUUAAAUUGUAAAAAUAAGUACAUUACAAUAUUUACAGGUAAAAACAAAGCAUGCAGUGUUUAAAUAAGAAGGUAAACGCAUUGCAAUGUGCAAAUAAAUGUAAAGAUGACAUGUGGUGCUUAAAUUAUAAAACAAAUAUAUUGUGAUAUGUGCAAGAAAAAGCCAAGAUGACAUGCAGUGCUUAAAUGAUAAAAUAAAUAUAUUACGAUAGUUGCGAGGCAUGCGGUGCAUAAAUGAUAAAAUGCAUUGUGAUAUGUCGUGCAGUACUUAAAUAAAAAAAAAAAAUGCAUUGCGAUAUGUGUCAGCAAAGACAAAAUGAUAUGCAUUGCUUGAAUGAUGAAAAUAAAUACAUUGCGAUAUUUACGAGGCAUGCGGUGCUUAAAUGAUAAAAUGCAUUGCGAUAUAUGCGUGCAGUGCUUAAAUAAGAAAAAUAAAUGCAUAGCGAUAUGUCAAUAAAGGCAAAGAUGACAUGCAGUGUUCAAAAGGUGAAAUGAAUGCAUUGCGAUAUUUGCGAAGCAUGCAGUGCUUAAAUGAUAAAACGCAUUGUGAUAUGUGCGUGCAGUGCUUACAUGACGAAAUAAAUGCAUUGUAAUAUUUGCGAGGCAGCAGUGCCCAAAUGAUAAAAUAAAUGCAUUGCAUUAUGUGCGUGCAGUGCUUAAAUGCAGAGCAAUAUGCGAUGAUAAAAGUAAGAAUGGGAUGCAAUGCUGAAAUGAUAAAAUAAACACAUUGCGAUAAGUGCGAGUAAAGGUAAGAAUGACAUACGAUGCUUGAAUAAUAAAAUAAAUAAAUACAUUGCGAUGCGUGCAAGUAAAGAUAAGAAUAAAAUGCGGUGCUUAAAUGAAUAAAUGCAGUGCGGUAUACUGCCAACAAAGACAAAGAUAACAUGCAGUACUUAAAUAAUGAAAUAAAUGCAUUACAAUAUUUGCGAGGCAUGCAGUGCUUUGAUAACAAAAUGCAUUGCGAUAUGAGCCAGUAAAGGCAAAGACGACAUGCAGUGCUUAAAUAAUAAAAUAAAUGUAUUGCGAUGUGCAAGUAAAGAUAAAGCUAGCAUGUAGUGCUUAAAAGAUAACAUAAAUGCAUUGCAAUGUGUGAUGCAUUGCAAUGUGUGCAAAUAAAGAUAAAAAAAAUGUGCAGUGCUUAAAUGCAUUGCAAUGCGUGCAAAUAAAAGUAAGAAUAAAAUGCGGUGCUUAAACGAUAAAAUAAACGCGUUACGAUGCGUGCAAAUAAAGACAAAGAUAAAAUACAGUACUUAAAUGAUAAAAUAAAUGCAUUGCGAUAUGUGUCAGCAAAGGCAAAAAUAGCGUGCAGUGUUAAAUAAUAAAAUAAAAUACAUUGCGAGAUGUGCAAAUAAAUAAAUACAGUGCUUAAAUAACAAAUGAUAAAAAAAAAUACAUUGUGAUGCGUGCAAGUAAAGCAAAGAUAGCACACAAUGCAAAAAAAAAAGUAAAUAUGUGUAAGUAAAGACAAGCAAGUAUAAAUAUUAAAUUAAAAAAAAGCGUGUACACUGUCUUUUGGAGGGCAGACCGACCCGAUUAUCCUAUUUUAGGGUGGAUAAAUCCAUGUAAAAAAAUAAAUAUUAAGCAAAGAAAUAUUUGGGAAUGAAAGUAUUCACAUAUUCUCGAUGCUGCUUUCAAAAUUGCCCCAGUAUCAAGUUGUAAGAUGCUGGGGAAUGCAAGAUCGUGUACUUGCUGGGGAGAAAGAAUAUUUAUGGAUUGUGACGACCGAACUCUGCGUAGAACUUCCUACAUAUCUCGAAUGUUAUGAGAAUCAGGCCAAUGUAGUUCGAAAUAAGAAAAUAAAGUAAAUUUUGAGGUGGAUUCUUAAAAUUUGCUCCAGUGUAUGAUAUAUGGCUAACACUGUCUCUUUGAAAAAAAAAAACUUAAAAAGAUGUACGACGUCUCCCGAUUGUCUAUGGGGACUUGAAAAUGAAUGAAGUCUUUGAUUAUCUACGAAGAUUGAGGUACUCAGCUAGUGAGGUGACUGAAAUCUAAUAGCCUCUCGAUUGAUAUGGCUAUAAAAAAUGUAAAAAAUACUUAAAUGGGCGCCUAACUACAAAAUAAAAUGCCGGUAUUUAAAGGCAUGUCUUUGAAAGAAAAAAUCAAAUAUCCUUAUUUGAAAAUUAGGUACUUUAAAUAAAAAGUAAAAAUGCAUUUAUGUUAAAGUCGACAUCUUGAAUGAAAGGUAAAAAAGGAUGUCCGUAUGUUAAAGCGGACGUCUUUAAACAAAAGAAAAAUAUUGUAUUUUUUAGUUAAAAAUGCUAAAAGAUGAAGAAGACACAAUCGUGUUUUGACUUCAGUUGGUACCAAUAAUUAGUAGUGUGCAUAAGAAUUCUCCCAUCUCCUUUUCAGCUAACCGAGAUCAACUUCAGGGUAACUUUUAUAGUUUCAAGUGGUACCUCAGAUACGCCUAAGUAUCGACAAGAUUUGUUCGUCUUGUUCCAAAUAAAGAUUUUAAACUAUGUCUAUUCUUAUAUUUCAAGUGCCCAAUCCAGAAAGAAAGUCUCAUUUCGUACAUAUUUGAGUAAUUUUCUUUUUAAAUUUGGACAAAUCUAGAGAAAUACACUCACACACAGAAAGAAUUCAAUGCAUGUAAUUGUGAUACCAUAGGCUUGACCUCCAUGUAAGUAUCCACUAAUGUGAGAACGCUUGAAAUAGGAUCUCGUAGUACUUUAUAUCAGCUUGUAAUGUAGGCUUGAGGACGGGUAGAAUAAUACUUGGGAUAAAAGUGACUAAUCCCUCAAUGAGCAUUACACUGCAUUUGUGCUUUCAACAUUUGUUGUGCUUUGACGCAUGAUCUUUUAGUUGUGCUUCGUUGUCUCUUGCUUUGCAUUUGCUUCGACUUCUUUUGAAUUUUGCGUUGGAGUUUUCCCCCACUUUUCAAGAAAUUAUAUUUUUUUUAUUCUUUUCUCUUUUUUGGGGGAUUUUGCUCUUUUCGAAGUCAUUUUUUAUUUUUUGUUCAUCUGAUAACAUAUUCUUUGUCUUUUGCGUCUUCGAUCUUGAAUCUUCGUUCGUAAUUUGCACGUAUUUAAUGCGCUCAAGGAGGUAGGGCAAAGAGAGGGAUAGUGCAUGUAAGCACUCAGAAAGGUAUAGUCUUAGAUGCGGUUGUCCAAAUAAAAGGUCUUAGGCUAAAAAAGGGGAAUGCUAGGGAUUAAUGUCAUUUGGUGGGCUAUGAAAGGCUCAAUCGGGUCAAAAAAGGCCUACGGUCCUUUUCUAAACUAAGUGCAACUCAGAAUUUUGCUUCAACAGACAUCAAAGUCAAGUUCUAGAUCAACAAUGUAAUGCAAUAAAUUAAGCUAAAGCUCGCCACACAAUGCACAUGAAACAAUGAGGUUGGCUUCGUUUUUGUCUUAAAUGUAUGCAAGAGAAUUUUCAAGUGUUACUUAGAUGUGAUAAAAGGUACCAAAAGAACCUAUGGCUUACCAUAAAGUCUACUCCUCCUACCAUAUCAAUCUGCUCUUUCUCAUGCACACUCCUAACUGUAGAUAUCAACUAAGUCAAAAUUUUAUUUUAUUUUUUUAAAAAAGAAUGGGAUCGAACCCAAAUAAGGGUUGCCUACGUAUCUUAUGAAAACAAGAAUCAGGUCUGCGUAGUUCAGGCAAAUUUGUGAAUUAGUAUGCGCCAUGUAUGAUAAGAAAAUAAUGGUCAUUAAUAAAAAUAAUGUGAAAGACGAUCAGGAAAGAACUGCUGGAAAGAACUGCUUUUAGCAUCAAAAUUAUUCUGAUCAAAUGAUCGAAAGAAUGGAUGUAAAGCAUGAGAAGAGCUUGGACACAACUUCAGUAUGCUGACAAAAUUAAAAAGCUGAAUAUUGAAGGAAUUAUGAUGUUAUUUUAUCGUAGUUGGCAGAAUUAUUAUAAUUGAAAAAUAUUAAAUUCUUGCUUUAGAGAGUGGGGAUCAAUACGUCAUAAAUUUAAUGGUUCACGACGUUCGAAAAAAGAAACUAGGUAAAAUUGAGUAAAGAUCUGAAGAUAGGCCGGCUAGGCACUAAUGUCAAUGAGAUUUGAAUUUUGAGGAGCUAUUAAAUUGCGCUCUUGAAGGCUUUUUGAGAGCGUCUUUGAACUGUUUCAGAAAAUUGCCCCAAUUUGAAUACCGGAGAAAUUAUUCUGAAAUAGUGAAGAGCCCGAACCCUAAUGCAGGGUUGCCUACGUAUUUUGUCAAGACAAGAAUCAGGUCAAAACGUAGUUCAAACGUAUACGCAAUUAUUGACAAUGUUACCAAGGUGCAUCUUUUAACUAAUUCGCACUGCAAAACAAAGGUUAAAUUACAUCUUCUCACUAAAGUAUAACCAAUUAAUAGUAAAUAGGCAUAAUUAUUCGUUAAAUAUGUACAGAAACUAUGAUAGUGUGUUACUUUGGGUCGUAAACCCUUCGGACAUUUGGAUAAAACUAACUAACAAUGCAUGUACCUAAAAAAAUGUUAUUUUAGCUCUAUUCUAUGCUAACUAAGAGUGGGUAAACAAGGACUUGGAUUUCCUAUAUGACAAGGUACAUAGUCCCACGAUAGUAAAACUCCCGCUUACCCCACAUAUACGCCAACUCUCUAAAAUAAGGUGAUUUAAAUUUUUUUUGAGAAAGUACAAUCCACGUGUACAAUGUGUGCUAGUGUCAGUUUUCCAAAAUGGAGAAAAUAUGAGCGGAAUGAUAAUUUAUAUAAAGCAAUAAACAAUCUAUAAACAAAUAAAUAAUUUAAGCCAUAUAAACAUGAUAAAUCAAGACAAUUAGUAUGAAACAAAUAACAAUGUAUAAAAACAUAAAUAAUUACCUAAAUUUGUAAUGGUUAAAACUUUGUAUUUCCCAGUAGAGUCGCCAAACUGUCAUACCCUAUUUUUACCUAAGGUCAAAACGAGCAUGACAUUAUGGACUCUAAAAGAAUAAAUUUUGUACAGAGUCGCCACCUAAUUUUUAAAGAAAAUGAGGAAACCUAUUUAAUUAUUAGCAAUUAUGACUUUAUUUUAAUCUGUAAAAUCAAUUUAGAUUCAAGAUAAGGGUUCAAAUUAUUUCGAAGGGAAGGUAUUAGGCACCCUUCAGAAUCCACAAAUGUAGUUCCCGAUUAGACUUAGAUUUUUUAUGAGGCGAAGGAAAAAAUCAAUGCUUAUAAAUAAAAUUCAAAAUAUACAUUAAAAUAAUAUAAACUAUUUGCAUAUAAAGAAUGUAUAAAUUACAUAAAUUAUUGUAUAUAAAAAAUGUGUGAAGAUGAUCAAAAGUAUAUAAGAAUAUGUAUAAAAAGAAAAGAAAAAUUGAAUAAAGAAAAAUUUAUUUUAAAUAAAAAGAUUAUGCAAUAUUUUCAAAUGUAUAAGUAUGAAUUAAUUGAUUAAAUAUCUAAAUUAAUUUAUUUUUUUUAUAAAUAUUAACGACCUAAAUUUGUCUAAAUACGCGGUAAAGAUUGUAUAAGUUAAAACAUUCCCGCCCAAUGCCUCCAAAAUAAAGUUUUCACUAUGAUAAUAUUUGUACAAAUAUAAAAAUAUAAUGCAAAAUUUAAAAUCUUCCUUGAAUGUCACUCCCGAUGAAUUUUUUCAAUAACCUGUAUAAACAAACACUUACAAUAAAAAUGUUAGUAACAAAUAAAUAAUUAUUAAAAAAUUAAGAAGAUGUGUGUACAUAUAUGUAUAAAAACUAGAAUUUUUCAGUAAAAAAUAUAGGCUCGGAUCAAAUUUUAAGUACGUCAUGAAAUAUGGGCUCAGACCAAAUUUUAGUUACGUCAUGUCUACGAAAUGAUUGCUUAAUUUAUUAACCGUCCUAAAUCGUCUUGCCAAGAUAUAAAUCAUAAAACUUUUGCGUUGUUAUAAAAAUUUUGUCAUCGCUCAAUUCAUUUAUUUUAUUACAUAUUUAUAUACAUAAUAUCCAUCUUUUUAUUUGUGCAAGCCUAAAAAAUCGACGAAAAAUUUCUUCAUUGAUCAACUAGCGUAGUAUUUUAUUCAUUAUCAAUAUAACCUCAAAGUCAGUAAAUAAAAAGGAUGAAAUCCUCCAAAUUUAAUUCCUAAAGAAUGCGACCCAGUAGCAGAAUACAUCAAAAAUUAUGCCUCAUCAGUCCAAAAUAAUGCUGAUAAAAAGCAAAAUAAACUAAAUGCAUUAGCAGUAGGCAACUCAGAAAACAACAACAAACAUUUAGUGCACUUAGUAGAUCAUCAAAGCACUACUCUUUCCGAAAAUAAAUCAAAAUACAAGAAAUAAACUAUAACCAACCAAAUCAGGGUAACAAGAUAUGCAAUAGCGCAUAAAGCAGUAGAAACUCAAUUCAAGGGAGUGUUUUUUCGACGAACAACAAUAAUAAACGGAGAAGGAAGUGGCGUUGCUUCCACGGCUUUGGCCGGAGCAACGCCAUAUGUACAAAGCUCCGGUCAGAUCGGGCCCAAAAAUGGUACAACAACAAUGAGGGAGAGCAGCGGGUGGUGGAGGAAGAUCUGAGGUUGAACUCCGGUGGUUCCACAUUAGGCCGGAGAAGAUAGAAGAAAAAAUUGGGGUAUGUUGGUGUGGUUGCCGGAGCUGUUUGGGGAUGGAGAAAGGAGGAAGAGAGUGGUGGUUUGUGGUGGCUGGUCGGCGCGCUGGUGAAUGUUUCGCCGGCGUUGGUGGCGCGUGGUAGUGCGACGCGGUUGGAGAGCGGGGAAAAGAAGAGGGAAAUGGGAGAAGGGGGCUGGUUGGUGGAGGUUGCCGGAGCUCCAGCGGUAAAGGGCAGCAAGGAGAAGGGGGAAAAGGAGAAGAAAAACGUGAGUUAAGAGAGAGAAUGGCGUAUGGGAUCUGAUAUUUGUGUGUGCGUAUUGUGUGUGUAUAUUGUGUAUUUUUAUUUUUUCUCAAAACUAAUAAAUCCCCCUCCCAUUCUUUUAUACUCCCUCCGUUUCACAAAAAUAAGUGAAUUAUUGGAGUAAUUUUAAUGUUUCAAAAUAAGUGAAUGAUUUACAAUUCAAGAUAGAUGUUGAAUUUCUUUUUCAAAUUUAUCCUUCAUUAAAUGUGCAUUGAAAAUGAUGUAUCAUGUGCCUUUAUUUUUUGAAUAAGGUAAAAAAU